Molecule: long non-coding RNA, 77176 nt
Filed under: Medicago truncatula (barrel medic)
Lineage: Eukaryota; Viridiplantae; Streptophyta; Magnoliopsida; Fabales; Fabaceae
Source: RNAcentral
AAGAGACUUCUAAAUGCUCAAUCACAACUGAAAGUGACUUCUAAGAGUUUACAAAUAAACAGAUUUGUUUGUACACUUGAUAUACAAUCAAAGGUGUAAACAAUACAAAACAGAACAAACUCAAAUACUUAGAAUUUCUAAAAUACAAACUUUGAUAAGAAAUUUUUCAGCGUUCUACCCACUUUUUGAUUUUACAGAGUAAGGGCACAUUAAAAAUAGUAGAGUCUUGUUGUUGUUGUUCAAGUCUUCAGCUCCUUAUAUAGGCAAGGAUUUGAGAGACGUUGAAGAAGAGUGUUAAUGCAUUAAGAGUCGUUGAGAAGUUUCAAAUCAAGGAUGUUGGAUCAUUGCCUGAUAUGGAUAAUGUCAUUGAUUAAACAUUUGAAAUUCAUUUGCUGAAGCUAAAACUAUCUGUUCAUUCUCUUUGUUGUAAUUUUUUUUUUUUUACAUAUGGUCAGAAGAAGAUAAAUUGUACUAUCACAUACUUGAUAAGGACAUCUACAAAAAGGGACAAAUCUAAAGUGGCUUCCGAGUCUGAUGCAGAUCUUCAGCUUUUGAGUAGCUUUGUUUCUUCUAAUCCAAGACGUUUACUUCUGGUUGACUUUUCUUCAGAUCUUCUACCAUUGUCUUUUAGCUUUCUAUUUGUGUUUCUGAUGCUCUUAUACACAUCCAGACCUUGUUAAAUUUUAAUCUAUAGUCAUGCACACUUGAACAUAUAUUAGCAUAUUCAAUUAUUCUUCAAUACUUUAUUAUCAUCAAAACUUUAGAGGAAUUGUACAAACCAAUUUUGUUCCGACAUAUUAUAUAAAAAUUAAAGUUGUGAUUUCAAUAAUUUAAAUGAAGAGUAUAAUUGGAAAAUAGAAAGACAUUGCAAUUUUUUUUUAAUAUGUAGUAUAGAAAAUGUGCAUCUUUUUGAGACAAUUAUUUUGAAAAAAAUUAGUAAAUGAUGCGUAUAUAUUUUAAAGUGAAAAUUAUUUUGAAACAAAAAAAAUGCUAAAAAUCAAUCACUUUGAAACGGAAUUAGUUUAAAUUAAACUCAUAAUUGUACUUUUAUCAAUCUGUAAAUUACAUAAUUAAAAGAGUUUAAUUACUAAUGAUGUAUUGUCACAUCAAUUCAUGAAUAUGACAACUCAUAACUUUUCAUAUCAAUUAAUUGACGUAGCAACGCUUCAUUGGAUGCAUUUGUAAAAAUAUUCUUUGCCAAUAGUUAAGACUCGUUUCAAUGAUUUUCCAAUGGUUAGAAUUAUGCAACUCUUAUAGAGAUGACUUUAUUUUUCAUUGCCAAUGGCUAAGAUUUGUGCACUACUGCAGUGAACAAAUUAUGCAGUUGGUGAUGUUUUGAUAUUGCUUCGGAUUUGUAAAGAUGGCAUUACAAGUUUAUGGCAAAUGUUCAAACUUGUAGAUGAUGCAUUUUAUUUUGUCUCGUAUGAGAAAUAUGAUUAGAACAAUUUAUGUGCUUUGAUGCUUAAAAGAUUCAAUCAAUAUUACCAAUUUUAAAAAUAUAAAAUCAGUUUCCCGUUCUCUUCGCUCGCUCUCUUCGAGUUUGUGCUACUCACAUUCUAAUGCGAAGCCACAUCAGACAUUCUGCACGUUGUUUAAGCACUUGAGCUUCAACAGCUUCGCCUUUUAGUAGUGACGGUGACGGUGCAUUUGAUAUUUGGUUGUCUUUGAUUCUUUGCAUGUUCAGUCCUAAUGCUCAUAGCAGUAACAUCAUAGUUGUUUGCUUGAUUUCUCUUUGCCUUUGAUUUUUUCAGGACUUUAUUUGUUGUUUGAGAUUUUUGUUGAAGAUUAGAGAAAUAAAAAAGAUGUAGUUUAAUCCAUUUUACCUUAGUUAUCACUUAUCAGUGAAAAUACAGGUUUUUUUGGAAAAUUUAUAGCUAAACCGACCGAGUUUAAAAUUGGAAAAUUGGUACAAAAUAAUGAAAGCUAAAAAUCCAUUGUUUAUAUUUCUUUUCGAUUGUUCAUGAUCUGCUUUGUAGUGUUUUGUGUGUGGGUAUCUUGUUUGGAAGCUUUUAAAAUUUGAAUCUUGAAUUGCUUUAUCUUGUUCAAUUUGUUAGUCUUUGUGUGUCUUCAAAAGCACUUAAUAUUUGUUUUAUGCAGGUUUGGAUUCUUAAGAAACAUUUUUCAAUUUUGCUUCAUAUCAGAGGAUAUCAGUUUUUGGCAUUCAAUCCAUCCAAGGUCAGUGACCUCAUCUCAAAUUUUUACAAGUUUUUUAUUUCUUUGUUGUCUGUGAUGUUUAGACUGUAGAUAAUGCAUUUUAUUUUGUUGCAUUGCAUAUCAGAAAUAUGAUAAGAGCAAUUUGUAUCAAUUUAUGCGCUUUGAUGCUUAAUAACUCGAUCAAUAUUCCUUCAUACCAACCAGUAGCAUUUUUCAUCUUUUAUACUCUAUAAUCAUAUUUAAUUGACCUCUUUAUUUCUUUUAGAAACUGAAAACAAUCUCUACUCGUAAAAGAUAAUCCUCAUUUGGUAAUUAACUAACUAUGCAGUCUAAAUGUGAACAAGCCUACUUAAUUUAUAACCAAUUAUAUUGAGGCUACUAAUAGGCAAAUAUUGAUAUAAAUAAGUACAAUAUGUGUGAACAAGCCUGUUGGUAUAAAUAAGUACAAUAUUGAUAUUUGUUGCAUAUAAUAGUAUGCUCAUAAAUUAAACUCAAGUAUGCGUAUUAAGCAGCACGAAAAUGAAAGGAAGCAGAGAAAAGAAAUUCAUUAGCUACUAAUAGGAACUAAGAUAUAAAAUGUCAUUGAAAUGAGUCCAAUUAGAAUUCACACAUAUGUGAAGUUCAGCUUUGUGCAUAUUUUUGGGACUAUGGCAAAAACAAAGACAAUGAUGUUAGUAUCCUUCAAUUGUUGGGGGAGGAGGCGACCUAUAUUCAGCUCCAAUGUGUGGUGGCAAGAUGAUGUCAUCCCAUGUUGGUGGUGGUGGAGAGUUGACCGAUGGAGGAGGAGAGUGUACUGGUGGUGGAGGGGAGUGCACCGGUGGUGGUGGGGGAGGAGAGUGAACUGGUGGUGGUGGAGAGUAGACUGGUGGAGGAGGUGAGUGGACAGGUGGUGGGGGAGAGUGAACUGGUGGAGGAGGUGAGUGAACUGGGGGUGGUGGAGAGUGGACUGGUGGAGGAGGUGAGUGGACAGGUGGUGGUGGUGAUGACACUGGUGCUUUUGUUGGUGGAAUAUCCUCGACCGGUGCUCUUGUUGGUGGAAUAUCCUCAACUGGUGCCCUUGUUGGUGGAAUAUCCUCAACUGGCGGAAGCGUAGGUGGAAUGUCCUCAACUGGUGCUCUUGUUGGUGGAAUAUCCUCAACUGGUGGAAGUGUUGGUGGAAGUGGUGGUUGAACCUUUGGUGUCUCUUGCUUAGGAGCUCCUCCACCACAGUGUUGGCUACAAUCCACAUGUUUGGUCAAAACUGGUAAGCAUUCCUUUGAUGUCUUUUGAUCUUUCCUUCCAGGUAAACAGUUAUUGGCAUCAUCAAAUACAACAUUAGGAUUACUAGAAGGAACACAAGUUUGAGCUUCUCCAUUGAAGUAAUUAUCAGAAAAUGUGAAGUUAGUCAACAUAGGUAGCUGGCAAAUAGUGUUGGAAACAUAUCCACUAAGCUUGUUAUGUGUAAUGUCAAUAACCUCAACAUUCUUCAAUCCUGACAAAUUUGGUAGUGUCCCAACAAACCCAUUUUGGCUAACAUCCAAAACAACUAUAUUCCCUAACAUACCAAGCUCUUGUGGAAAACAACCACCAAGACCAUUUCCCAAUAAAACAAUUUCAUUCAAGUUCGCCAUGUUUCCAAUUGAUUUUGGAAUACAACCUGUGAAUUGGUUGUUAGCAAAAGUCACAACAGAGGCUUUUGAUUUUCCAAGUGUUUCUGGUAUACCACAUGUAAAACGGUUAUUGUUUAAAAAUAUUGCGUCAAGUUCUUUCUCAAAGAGCUCAUGAGGUAAACAUCCUUCAAAGUCAUUGAAUCUAAUAUCCAAGUACUUCAAACCUGGCCAUGUGAGUACCACAGAAGGAAAAUUGCCGACGAAAUGGUUGUUACUGAUAUCAAACUCAUGCAUAAGGGUGAGAUUUUUAAAGCUCUCUGGAAUAAUACCACAGAAUCUGUUUGAGUUAACAUGGAAAAGAGCAGCAUCUUUCAAUAGGCCUAACUCUUCUGGAAGGUGACCAGCAAUGUCGGCGUGAGUAAGAUCGACACCGGCUACAACAUUCAAUUUAGGAUCAUCAAGAGCAGGAGCACAAAAGACACCAGUGUAAGAACAAACAUCAGUACCAACCCAAUUACCAGUUGUGUUAAAAGGGUCAGAAUGAAUAGCAUCUUUCCAUGCUUGAAAUGCAACAUAAGCAUGUUUUAGCCUCUCAUUAGGAAAAUUUGUGGCAGGAAAACUUGUGACACUAUCAUCAUUGUUAUUAUUAUUACCACCAUUGUUAUUGUUAUUACCACCAUUUCCACUUUCGAUUACAGAUGAUGAAGCGGGAGAAUGAUCAUUGUCAUCAUCAUUGUUAUUAUUAUUACCACCAUUUCCACUUUCGAUUACAGGUGAUGAAGCGGGAGAAUGACCGAUAUCAAAAGAGAAUAAUGGUGUUGGUGAUAGAGCCGGAGCUUGUGAUGGAGCCAUAACAUCUAGUAAUUGAGUCGGAGCUUCUGCUUGAGCCGGAUCAUCUGAUGAUUGAGCCGGAGUAUCAUCAAAAGUAAAUCCAAAUUCAUAUUUUGAUGGAUCAUCACCUUCACCGGAGACAACUACUGGAAAUUGAGGGCCAUCAAAAGAAAUGGUUGAAAAAGAAGGAACAAGAAGAGAAAAUAAGAUAAAGCAACCUAAGGCCUUGUUAGAAUAACGGUGAGCCAUGACUUCCCACCUUGGUUGGCCCAAGGCUGCAUAUAACAAAGCUUAUGGAAAUGAUGAAAAUAAGGGUGUUAUUAUAUUGAGGAAGAUAGAGAGGUUUGUUGAAUUUGACACCCAUUACGGAGUUGUAGAAAAUAGAGUUUCUAUGUCUAGAAUGUUUUUGUUCCGAAUGUCAUGGGUUCUCUCUAAGAUAGACACUAAUUUUGGCUUGACACUAAUAUUAGUAUUUGGCAUAUUUAGAUAGGAUAUAGAUUGUUAACAACCAUGAUUUCAUAACCUUAUAACCAAUUAUUGUUUGACUUGGUUGUUCUUUGACAAAAUCAGAACUAAAUUUCCAUUGGUUUCAAAUUAUAUCCCAUUUUGUAUGUAUUAAUUCAUCUCCAUGAACUCAUCAUAAUUAACCACAAAUGCAGCUAGCUAUAGAUAUCAGAGAGAGAAAAAUAUAGUUAUUUACAACAAAAAAUAAUGAUAAGACCAUUAUUAUUGUUAUUAUUAUUAUUUUUAAGAAUUAUCAUAUAUAUUAUUAUUAUCAUUAUUGGUUUUACCAUCAUUAUUAUUGUUACUAUUAUUAGUUGCCCUUAAAUAGGACGUUAUUGUAACAAAUCCUCUAAAAAAAAACCAAUUUGGUUUAGAAUUUCAACAUAAUAAUUAAUUUAAAAGAAGACAAAAGCUUUUUAACACAUAGUAAUUACACUAAAAGAAGACAAAAGCUUUUUACACUCUAUUUAACUAUUAUUACACUGAAGAUGAGAGUGAAGAUGGAGAAAAAACAUAUUCAGACCUAUCUAGAAAUGUAACUCCGGCUUACACACACAUAGCAAAAGAAAUAAUUCUUGCUCUUAGAGUUAUUAUACAACAUUAACAUAAUAGUAUAUACAUGCCAUUCUUUCAUACAACAAAACAUUAACAAGUGCACCACUACAUAUAUCAAGUUUUAAAGUUGUUCAAAACAUAAAUGAACAACACAAGUCUAAACAGAAGCCAAACUAAGCUAAAGUCUCUACUUGACCAAGUUGGUACCUCUGCUUCAUAUGAUAAACUUAAUUUUCUAGCUUAGCGCAUUAGCCUCUGAAAUUUAUAAAGGUCCGAUCCAAGGAGGCUGCCACUAAAGCAAGAGUUUUAGGUUCCAAAAUUUUGAGGUCUUGUAUUAGGUCUCAAAUCAUUUUAGUUUUAAAUAUGAAUAUGUAAAUUGAAUGGAGAGUCGACAUAGUUCAUGUUGUAAGUUCAACAAGUAGGUUAGUUAAAUGCAGAGUCGUAGUUCAUAUUGCAAGUUUAACCUCAAGGCUAGCUUUAUUGCGGGUUAUCCGUAACUUAAUUUUUUUUUUUCUCAUCUGAUUUCUAUUAAUUUAAUGUUAUUUGUUGGAAAUACAUUGUUUGUGAUCAAAGUUUGCAAAAGUAAAAGUGUAAUUUAGAUUUGUGUCAGGAUUAUAUACUAUUUUUCUAUUUUAAGACACAAUAAUUUGUAAAUAAACUUUAUAUGAAUAGUUGUUGCACUAAAGGGGUUAAGUCUAAAUGAAGAGGUUAUAUUUUCAUAAUGUGAAGAACUAAAAUUAGAGAGAUAUUAACAUUUCUGUCAGACUAACCUCAAAUAAAAUUGCUAUCGAUUGAAAAAACUUAUGGAAAAAAAUCUUAAUUUUUAUGUUACUCUCUAUCAACAGUACACACUUGAAAAGUCUCAAUGUAAAACUCAUUUUAGGUCUAAAAAAGUAUUUGGUCGGCCCUGCAAUACACUAUUUUAAUAAAAUGAUAACUAUGUAUAUGCUUGAAGGUUUCUAACUUUCAUGGUUAUGAUAUUUUGAAAGCUACCGCAACACUGUCACUAAUUCACUCUAAGAAGCUUGAUUAUAAACUUUUUAGCGAAGCAAAGGCUUUGUCAUACAUGUAUUACAAAAGAGUGGUGAUACGUUGACCACCAUAGGUGGCACACACAUCUUCUACCACCACACACUAAUAUGACACGUGGGGAUGUGACCCUCACCAUCCCACCUAACACUCUUUCAAAUGGGAUAAAAUUACUAAAAUAUCUUUUCACAUGGGGUACAUAAUGGAGGUAAGGAAAAAAGGGUGUCAGCAUAAAAUCAUUGAAUUUAUCCCCGUGAGAUUAGAUCAAUUGGUAGGGAUAUUGCAUAUUAUAUGCAGGGCUGGGGUUCGAACCCCGAACACCCCACUUCUCCACAAUUAAAUUGUAUGAGCUCUGACCAUUAGACUACUUGACAAAAAAAACAUUGAAUUUAAAAUUUAUGCAGCCAAUAGAGUGGUUAAAGGCUCAUUAAAGUAUGUAUCACAUAAAUGACUUAGAUAUCUGGUGUUUUUUUUUUUUUUUUUGAGAAAAAGAUAUCUGGUUGUUAUUGAACGACUUGUAAUUAAGUCUGGCUUAACCACUAUAGACAAAUGGACCGAUUUAGCCCAUAUUUUUUGGUUUAUUUAUUUCAUUUCUAUGCAAUUUUAUUUCUCACCAUUUUCUAUUUGGUGAGAUUAUAACUAGAUGCACAUUUAAUUUUUUUUUUUUAAUGCUAAAUGCCAAUUAAAGAACAAAUUCAUAACUUAUAACCUAUAAACUUAAAAUUUUUAAAACCUUUAACUUUUGUCAAAAAUAUGUUUAAGUCAAACAAAUCUCCUUUUUAUUAAUUCACAUAUUUAAAUAUAUUUUUAUUAAUAUUUUCAAAUUAGAUAAUAAUUUUUAAUUUUUUUACUAAUUUAUUUGAUUUUCAAAUAUCGCAUGGAUAUGUUUUGCAUUGGUUGGUCAGAAACAUAAUCAAAUGUUAUCAGGGCUAGUUGAUUUAAUCUGACCCAACUCAUACUAAAACAUGUGUCAAUGGAUGAGCUCAUCGUAUCCAACUCAUUUUGAUAAAUCGGUUAUGCAAAUUAUAUAAAAAACAUAUUCAAACUUUUUUUCGAAAAAGUUAAAUUAAUUCACCCAAAUUGACACGAGAGAAUCAAACUUAACACACGAACAUUGCUAUUUAAAAUGUUGAAUCAGAUAACAUACUAGAAUCACUUUUAUAUCAUAGCUCGAUGACUUUAAGUUUAAACUAUUCAUACAGAGAUAAAACCACAAUCAAAUCGCUCAAAUAAUUUAUUCUUAACCAUCCGGUUCGGUUUGGUUUGAUUUGUUUUAAGACAUUAAUUCAUUUUCCUAGUAAGAUUUGUCUUAGGUGGACAAAACAGAAACCGAACAAGAGAGAGCGUGGUUACCGCUAUGCUAUAUUUGAAGGUUUCAAACACUUUCCUUUCAGUUACAGAACAAGGAAGAAGAUGAUGAAGAAGAAGAAGAAGAUGGGUCCUCUUACAAUGGAUACCAUCUUUGAUCUCAUUGAAGAAGCUAAGCUCCGUUUUCUAUGGUGGUCUCUUUGUAUAUUCGCCAUUUCCUAUUUCUUAACACGUACGUCAUUUCAAUUCCAUUUCAUUCACGUUGUAUAGUGUUCAAUCUCGUUUUUUAAGGAUUGAUUUUGUUACAUUUUUUUUUUCUUUUUCUAUCUGGGUUUUGCUUUAACAGUGUAAAGUUUGAAUCUUUGAUUGGCAUUUGCUGUUUUAGCAUAUGGGUUUUGCUUUAUUAAAUAUUACUGCAAGUUUUGAGUCUUUUAUUGAUACUUGCAAUUUUCCUUUCUGGGUUUUGGUUUAUGAAUGCAAAUUUUGAAUAUUUGAUGAUGAAGUAAUGGGACAGACAUGGACAUGAGAUACAACAUUGACACGUCCGUAGUAAUUUGAGAAAAUAGAAGUGAUUGAUUGUAAUUUGUAAGUGCAUGUGUCAGUGUUGCACACCGACACAUAUCAAACACACUUUCAAUGUGUGUAAUGUCAUUGUUGAUUUGUCAAGUGUGAGUUAGAAGUCUUAUAUUUGAUGAAAAAGUUGAUGUUGAGCAAUAUAUAAGUGAGAUGACCCAUAUAGUUAACACUUUAAGAUUUUGGGUAAAUAUGUGGUGUUCAAACUGACUUGUGUAAUAGCCCUUAGCUCAAUGUGUUGAUCCACCACAGUUUAGACUCCCCUGGAAGUCUCAACAUUGUCAGACCCUGACAUGUGUCAGACAUGCCUUUAAUAUGAAUUGUCGGUGUUACAUUUGAUUGGUACCUACUAUUUUGAUAUCUAGGUAGUGUAUUAUUUGUUUAUAUUUUCUUUGUUGUUUAUUAUAGAUACAAGUAAAUCAAUGUGGAUGAAUAUACCAAUGUCCAUUCUUUUUUUUACUGGUCUGAAGAUUCUUGUGAACAAAGUGGAGUUUCGCUGGAAGGUUCAGCCACCUAGAUUACAAACUUACCUAUCUCAUUUGGAGAAAAAGCAGUUGCCGCUAGAUGAAGAACACCCCUCUACUUCACCUCCCCCUCCCAAAUGGAAGAAGAAAAUUGAUUCUCCUGUGGUGGAGGCUGCUUUGAACGAUUUCAUCGAUUUGAUAUUGAAGGAUUUCGUGAUAAAUAUGUGGUAUGCAGACAUUACUCAAGAUGGGGAGUUUCCUGAGCAAAUACGUGACUUAAUCAUGGACGCUCUUGCUGAAGUCUCGGUGAGGGUUAAAGAGAUAAACAUUGUUGACUUGCUCACAGGGUAUAUUGUUUUUCUUGCUUUUAUGAAGAAAGGGGUUUGGGGAGUUAUUGACUUGCUACUUUGAUAAUGAAUUGAUUGAUACUAUACUCUUCCCUAAAUAUAGGACCCUCUUAAGAUUUUUACUCGUCCCUUUUCAUAGAUCCUGUUUGAAAUUUUCAACCGCAUUAAUUAUUUCUUUACCUAUGCACCCCUAAUUAUGUUACAUCUUUUUCUUCAACUUGUAAUAAAUAUUAAAAUGGAAACAUAAACGAAUUUUCUCUAUUGAAGGAUAACUUUUUAAAACAACAUCAAUUGUAAACAAAUUUAAUACUGCUAUAAACAUUCUUAUUCUCAUGAUUUAGUCAACAAAAUCUUAUAUUAAAAGAUGAAGAUAGUACUAGAUAAGAUUAAAAAAGCCACUAAAUGUGUUAUGUCUCACUGGCAUUGCAGUGGUAUAGUUGAUUUAAUCAGUGAUCAUAUAGACCUCUUCAGAAGAAAUCAAGCUGCCAUAGGUAGGGAUGUUAUGUUAACAUUGUCUUCUGAGGAAAGAGAUGAAAGAUUGAAAUUCCAUCUGUUGAACUCCAAGGAGCUUCACCCAGCACUAAUAUCUCCAGAGAGUGAGUACAAGGUGUGAGUGGAGUGUCCAAAUGUUAUCUUUGUUUAGCUUUUGAGGAAUUUAUACAUCUUGUACCUUACCUGAUGAUUUAACUUUCUUCAUUAGGUUCUUCAGCGGCUAAUGAGUGGAGUAUUAGCUACGGUAUUAAGAAAAGAAGAAGCUCAAGUUUCAGUCGUUCGAUCAAUAGCUCGGGAAAUCCUAACUUGCUUGAUAUUGCAGCCUAUAAUGAAUUUGGCAUGCCCUGCGUAAGUUGCUACGUAUUUUAUCUUAUAUUUCAUUUAUUGAACCUUUACUGUUGGGAGAAUAUGAUUCAAUUUAGUAAAUAACCUAAGAGGUAACAAGCAUAGAAGUAUCCAAUAGCAUAAAACCUAUGCGAUGAUAAAAUAUACAUUGAUCAAAGCCUUAAUCAUUAAAGUAAAAGUUAAAAAAUACCAUUGCAUAAUACAAUGAAGUGAUAAGUUGUUGACCUUAUGACUUAUUAACUACUUUGGAGAGUUUUCUUUGAUGAAGAUUAUGUUUCCCCUUAAUAUUUUUGGUUGUCUGAGAUGCUGGAAGGUACGAGAAAUCAUAUGCAUUACCACCUGUUUCCAUUCUCAAGCUGGCUAAUUUUAAGUUAAUAUAGUUUCAAGCUUAAAAUAUCUUAUCUGUGGAUCCAAGAAAUAAAAGUUUAGCAUAUUAUCUAAUCUAAUCGAUACAAGAAACUGGAUUUUCUUCUUGAUUUCCUAAGUAAACCUAUCCAUGUUGGUCAUAUCCGACUGAGAAUGUUAUAGAGUUUUAACUAUCCAUUUUUUUCUUGAUGAACAGGUAUAUCAAUGAGCUGAUUGAGUCUCUUCUACUUAUCCUUAAUGACGGGGAUAUAAAUUGGAUGGGCGGUGGUGAUCAUAGUUCAAAUGCUACCAGUACCACUCAUAAUCACGAUAAUCACACAGCCUCUGCUGAUUGGGCACAAAUGCUGGACGCUGCAACUCAGAGAAGAACUGAAGUUCUUAUGCCUGAGAAUCUUGAGAACAUGUGGGCAAGAGGAAGGAAUUACGGAAGGGAAACCCGUAAAAAUGCCAAAUCUGGCUCUCCUGCAAAACAUUCUUCUGCAGACCAUUCACUCUUUGAGAGACAUUCCACUCAUGAAACAUCACCGAGGAAACCUGGUGGAACACAUGCUUAUCCAUUGCAUAGUGUGGGUUCAGAUCCCAUACUAUAUGAUGGAAGCACAACUAUGUCUGAGUCGUCAAUGGAUCAUGGCAAGAGUUUAUCUUUUGAAUCAGAUCGUCAAGUUGCCGAAGUGAGUGACAUCAUGGAUCUUGGUUCUAAUAUGCAUAAACUUCCACUCAGGAGAACCGGAUCCGGAAGUUCUUCUCUCUUGGGAGCCCAUCCUCAUAAAGGAGGGUUCAAUGCUGAGUUCCACGCCCCUGAAUUUAAGAAGCAUGAAGGAUUCUGGGGAAAGAGUAGUUUUGACAUGGCUACCAGGAGAGAGGGACAGGGUGUUCCAAAGCUUCGGUGCCGGGUAUGCACUCUUGACUAUAAAAGUUGUGAGUUCUGAACUUUGGAAAAACCUUAAAAAAAACUACAAUAAAUAAAGCUCAUUAGUUUUCAAGUUUUUGUUAGUUUUCCUCCAUAUAAUUGGGACCAGAAGGAGUAUACUAUUCUAAAUUUAUAAGUUGUAAAUUGAUUUAUGAAAUAUGAAUAAGAAUGGAAUCAAAUCAGAUAGAUGGAAAAAAUUUCUGCGAACACUUGCAUUUAACUAAUUUGGUUGUUUUUUAUUGUCUAACUGUGCGCUGCAGGUGAUGGGAGCAUAUUUUGAGAAACUUGGAUCGACUUCUUUUGCUGUAUAUUCAAUUGCAGUGACUGAUGGACAAGAAAAAACUUGGUUUGUAAAACGAAGGUAUAAGGUUUGCUUGUUUAAAUCUUUAGGCUCUAACAGUACAACAACAUAUUUGAUCACUUAAACAUUUUCUGUCGUACCAUUCUAUUUCCCGUAAUUUUUAGUCGAGACUCAUUCAUGAUAGAGAAUAAAUAUGACAGAGGUUCAACAUUGUUCUGUUUGAUACUUAUAUUUGUGCUUUUGGAUCACUGAAUUUUCAUUUUAUGAUAUAUUCAGAUACAGGAACUUUGAGCGAUUGCAUCGACAUCUAAAACAUAUUCCCAAUUACACAUUACAUUUGCCUCCCAAAAGGAUAUUUUCCUCAAGCACGGAGGAUGCCUUUGUACAUCAGCGUUGCAUUCAACUUGAUAAAUAUCUCCAUGUAUGCUCGAUCAUUUUACAACUCUUCAAAGAAAUAUUUCCUGCCAUAACUUUUUAAUUGCUAUGGCAUUGCUCAAUUACGCUGUCUUUUUCAGGAUCUCCUGUCAAUAGCUAAUGUUGCUGAACAACACGAAGUAUGGGACUUCUUAAGUUCUUCUUCAAAGGUUUGCAUCUGCUUGGUAUUUCUUAUCAUAACAUCAUUUGAGUGACCAUAAUAGGUUGGAAGAGUGACAAUCUAACAAACUUUUCCGCUGUUUUCCUCCUGAAGAAUUACUCUUUUGGGAAACCUUCUUCAAUGAUGAGGACCCUGGCAGGUAAAUAAAAGGUUUUAACAUUUUGGAUUUCAAUCAUACUUUCGGUUUAAGUCUCAGGUUAUAGAUAUUAUAUUUUUGUGCAUGGUGACACAAGUAGAGCGAAAUAAAAGGAAUAGGGUCUAUGUUUGGCGAAAUAAAGGAAGUUCAAAUUAGUCUGUUAUUAAAAGGAGAUUGGAGAUUUCUGUUAGUUUUUUAUUAAAAGGAGAAUGGAUUUUUCUGUUUGUUUGUUUGGAGGGGAGCAGGGAGGGGGGUACAGGGAAAGGUUAGGCAUCGUUUAGACAAAUUGGAAGUGGAGAGUUCAGGUCUCUAGAAUAGUUGAGAUUAUUUUCAACUCAAUAGUGAAUUCUUAUUGUCAUGUUGGAAAUUCCAUCUUCAGGUCUUCCCCUAGCUGCCUAGUUGCGGCAUUUGGGUUACCUUUGUUGCAGCCUCCAACACCUUCAUCGUGUUGGGUGUGAAGGAGUUGAUUUAGUCCCACAUUUUCAUAGAGAUAUGGCCUAUGUAGUGCUUAUAAAGUUUGGGCAGCCUUCACCUUACAAAGUGGUUUUGUAAGGUUGGGUUAGGCCCAACUUAAAAUUCUAAGACCUUUCAACUUUUCCGGUCCGUUAUAUCAGAUAAAAGUGUUUGCCUUUACCGUGUUAGUGUGAUUUUCAUUGUUGUGUUGGCUGAUUGGGCAGGAUCCUUUGUCUUUAAUAUCUGGUGGUUUCAGAUUGGAAGCCAAGUUGUUUUAUAGAAAAUUCUUCCAAUGAAUUAUUUAUCUGCAACCAAUGUAAACUAAUUCUAAAUAAAUAGGGAAACUGGAAAAUGAAUCAUAAUAAUAUCUAGAUAAUAUGAAAAACUAAUUCUAAGAGAUAAUCUCAGAUGAUCUAACAUUAUAAAUUAAUCUUACGAGAUCAACUAAGAUAGUACAACAUAAUAUAAAGAUAGUAUAAGGUAUUUUCUAAUAUUCUAACACUUAUUUUGGUGUAUUUAAAUGUAGGAGCCACACUCUAUUGUUUCAUAUUUGUAAAAUUCAGUUCCUAUCAUAAUGCUCAAUUUUUUACACUGGCAGUCAAUGUAGAUGAUGCUGUGGAUGAUAUUGUACGGCAGUUUAAAGGUGUUUCAGAUGAUUUAAAGCGAAAAGUUGGCACUGCAUCAUCAUCCCCUACCGCUGAAGGUUCUUCAAAAUCUUUCACUUGGAACAUGGAUGAAAUGGAUAGAAGUAACCCGAGUAAAAAUGCUGCAGAGAGUGCGUUGAGCUCUGAUACUGAGGAAGGUGAAAAAGAAGGCAAUUAUAGCCAUGAGAGUAUAGCUAGAGAAGUAGCAGAAGAUAGUUUGUGCCUUAAUGAUAAUGAAUUGAGCUCAAAGGAUUAUUCACAAGGGGUGUUAAACCAUGGUAAUGAGUUUAGUAACUUGGAUCUUGAUAGGAAACAUGAUGUUGUAAUCGAAGCAAAGGUUGGCAAGGAUGUUCCAGCUACAAAUGGAAGUCUGAGUCACGAUAAUCCGGAAGAUCCAAUUGGAGUGCCGCCUGAGGUCUGUGCCACUUUUAAAGCACUAUAGCUGUGCUUUAACAGUAGACUUAAAUUAGACAAUUACUAACUUUAAAAACAUAGUUACCCACUUGAACAUUUACAAGCUGCUAAACUAUAAGACAAGUAAGCUUCUCCAAACCAUACUAGUGCACGACGAGCCCAUGCAAAGGGAUUAGUUAAGAUAUGCCAGAUUCCACCAAGUAUACAAAUGGAACCCAACCAUACAUGCCCUCCAAUUAUGUCUUCCAAAUUGUCCACACUAACAAUCCACUCCUCUCCCCAAAAAGGAGAUUUUAGUAAAUAACCGUUAGGGACUUGAGGAUCAAUUUAACUUUCUUUUUACUUUAAAAAGCAAUUCAGUAAUAUUAAUAAUUUUAACCAUUUUGCAGUGGACUCCACCUAAUGUGACUGUCCCUAUUCUGAAUUUGGUUGACAACGUCUUUCAGCUUAAUAAAAGAGGCUGGCUAAGGUAUAUUACUCUUUCUGAUAUUUCUUCUCUGUUUCCAAUUCAGUAAAAGCUAUUAAAUAAUGUCUUUAUAUUUUCUAGAAAUGUUAAUCUUAUGCCAAUUUACAUAUGCUUCUUUUAGUGUUGUUUAAUGUAUUUUUUCUAAUCUUAUGCCAACUUACAUAUGCUUAGAGACAACUGUUUUCUUCACUUUCACCUAACAGCUUAAGAUUUCAGGAUGCUCCAUUCUUGACAUUAUACAAAUUUCGAAAACUGAAAACGUAACGAUGAAUUGAUUUGCUGCCGUUAAGUCCUUACCCCUUUUCAAUAUAUUAAUUAAAAUUUUAACAAGAAAUAAUCAAAUUUUAAUCUUUUGUAACUUUCAUGAAAUUUGGUACUUUUGGAAUAAAUGGAUUUUAUUGAGCAACUGUAAUGAUGCUAUUUUAUUUUUUUUAAUUUAGAAGAUGUAGAAGUUGCUAAUGCUAGUUCAUUUUUGUUCAUGCAGAAGACAGGUCUUUUGGAUAUCAAAACAGAUACUACAGUUGGUGAUGGAAGACGCAAUUGAUGAUAUACUCCUGAGUGAGAUUCAUUGGCUCCGGAGAGAGGAAACCAUCGCGCAAGGAAUUCGGUGGGUCCAAGAUGUAAGGUUUAAGCCAAAAUUUCACCGGAAUAUUGUUUGCCAACUCAGAAUGAAUUUUUUCAUGCAAAUUGGGAAUAUGACACGCUGUAAUUAACUGGCUGUCAAUGUCUACCAUUUUCUCAAUAAAGUUAACCUAGUAUUCUCAAAUUUUCUAUGCUACCAAAUGUUAUUGAAUGCUGUUGCUUUAAACUUCAUUUGAUUUGGUAUUUUGUCAUUAUCUUAUUUUAAUAUAUUUUAUGAAUCAGCCAAAGUUGUUUGUUAAUUCACUUCUAAUCAAAUUGCCAUUAUUUGUUUCACAUGAAAUGAAAUAAACUACCUGCUUAUUUGGCUUGUAACUGCUUGGCUUUUUCAUCGUUGGAUUGAGCUCGUAAAUGCUUGAUUGUUGGGACUCUUGACUUGUUUUAAGUUUUCAAAAUAUUUUGCCCGCAUUAAAAAUGAAUUUACCUGUCCUAUGUAUCUUUUGUGUUUCUUAUUGCAUCCAAAAAAGACCAGUUUGCUUUUUUCUGUUUGGUAAUGACAAGUCACAGUUUGCAGUUGAUGGGGGUAAAGUCCUGCCCAAAAUGUCUUCACAUGAGUUAAAAAUUACAUAUUUAAAAACAAAAAAAUAUAAAAUACUUACCAAUGGCUUAUCCUAAUGCUUCAUGCUGUCUUCUUAUUCUUGCAGAUCCUCUGGCCAGGUGGCACCUUUUUCUUAAGAAUUCAGACCCCUCAGGUGUUUAUUGGUGGUGGUGUAACUGAUCAAAAGCCUUUACAGACCAUAAGUGAAUCUGGUGAAAGGACCAGUCAGAAAUCACAAUUAUGGUGUUUCGAGGAACAACUAGAAGCUGCUCGUAGAGCAAGUGAUGUGAAGAAACUACUCUUUGGUUAGUUCUAUUUUUGUAAAGUUUGUAUUGGAUAUUCUUCACUUUGGACUUAGGCUUGGCCCAACCUCAGAAGAUAGUUCAGGCACUGAAUGUUGUUCCCCACUUAUAAUUAUGGAAUGUGGGACUCAACACUCCCACUCGUGCCUAGAAUUGAACUUCUGGGCAUGUAAUUUGCACUUGGUCAACAUCUGCAGAUAUCCCAAGGAUUCUAGGAUAGGCUCAAAUACCAUCUUAGAAGUUGGGCUUAGGCUCUAACUCAACUCAACAAAAUCGGCUUGCUAGAUGAUGACUAUUUUUUUAGGACUACAUGGGCCAUAGCUCCAGUUAAUGUGAGACUCUCAACACACCCUCUCAUGCUGAGGUUUGGGCAUCUAAAGCGUGAGUUAAUGUGGGUGGAAUAACAAGGAUCUCAACACCCCCUCACUCUCAAGACUGAAAAUCUAGAGUGUGGACAAAUGCAGAUGGAAUAACAAAAAUCUUGGCACAAAACGGAUAUAGGAGGCUUAUGUAUCAUCUUAGGUUUUGGGUCAAGAGUUGGUGUCAGUCCAUUUUUGUGGCCUCUCACUUCAUUCCAUUGAUUAGUAGAGCUCCUCCCCGUCUACUAUUUCUGGAUCCCAUCUCUUUUUUUGGUGGUGUCUCUUGUCGCCCAUCUCUUACAAAUGGUAAUAGAGUCGAUGAUUAUGGUGGGAUGUGAGUUAGUGAGUGGUGGGGUUAUGUUUGACUAUGCUGCACCUGUUUGUUGACAAUCCCGUAAACUUGACAAGACUUCCACUUGAAGGGGGGCAUAACAAUGUAGAGUCCCACACUUAAGGGGGUGAUUGUUGUAAAUAUGCAAGUAUGAAGUUGUGGAAGGCUCACAUUGGUUGACGAUAGGUUAAGUGAAGACAAUAUAAGUGCACAAGCCCUUGUUAGCAUUGCCUUAAAACUUUGGAUCAAGAUGCGGUGUCAGCCCAUUAAUGUUCUCUCUCUCAUCAGCCCAUUGAUUAGGGCUCAUCUUCGUUUGCUCUUUCAGGAUCCCUCUCAUCGCCCAUCUCUUUCAAGGGUUUUGAGUCUAAAUCAACCCCAUAAGCUAGCUCUUGGGGUGAGGAUUGUACCACACUAAUAAUCAUUGUUCAGGCCAUAUCAUCAUUAUUUAAUGUGUGACUUUCAGCAUUCUAUAUCUUGAUCUUUCUUCUAAGACAAAUGCUUACAUCACGUUUAUCUUUGACCCAUUUUCCUAGACACAUAUAGGUUUUUACUUCUUGUAAACCUCCCAUGUAUUUUGACUAUUAAGCAAUAUAACUAUUAGUGAUAAAAAUUAAUAAAUCCCUAUUAUCCUUGAAACUUCAAUGUUUGUUGUGCAAAUUUAAGAGUAGCUAACAUUUUUAUGUAGUGCAGAAAUGACACGAGGGUAACUUUAUUGAGUGCUUCGAUCCAUGAACCUAAAUGACUAGACCAUAGAGUGCAUGAUUGCAAACUUGAAGGAGUAGUUGGUCAUAGUAAGGAUGCAUAUAUACAUUACCCUCUAUAGUAUUGGUGCAUCAGGGAACUAUUUAUUCAAAAUGUUGCUAUCCUUUUCUUUUUUUCAGUUUUCUUCUUUAAAGUUUGAUGCCUUCUGUAUUUAGUCUUUUUGUUGCUUUAAUUUCUUUCUACUCUAUGGUUUUUCAGUUAGUCUCUUUCUCUAUUAAGUUUUGGGGUCAUAAAUAAUUCUUAUGAAUUUCAAUGUAAAUUUCAAAAACUAAAAAAGGAGUGAGUGUCGUAUACAUUCAUCCUAAAAGUGGAGAAUGUGUUAUUCAAAGACUCUUUAAAAGGCUUGAAUGUAUGACUGUAUGAGGCAUUUAAUAUUGGUUAUCCACUGUUUGGUCUAGUGAAGACAUUGAUAAAAAAAAUAUGGUCUGGUGGUAGAAGCACCCAAAUCCAAGAGAAGUGAGCGAGUGUAAUUCUUGAGCAAGUUAUUAAGUUUUGUAGGGUGAUAUACACAUCGGAUAUACUUUUCCCAAAAAUCUUGCAAUUUGUUUAGGAUAGCUUCUUGUGAACUUAAUGGCAUUCGCUGAAAGAAUGUUAUGGUAUUUUCAUGAUAUUUUUGUGAUCCUUAUAACCUUGUGAAAGUUGAGGUGAAUAGCAUACGACGUUCAAGGAUUUGACAUAUAAAUUUUUCUCCGUUUUUGUCAGACGGAGCUCCAGCAGCCUUAGUAAGUUUAGUCGGGCAGAAGCAGUACAGACGUUGUGCCAGUGAUAUAUAUUUCUUUAGUCAGGUUAAAUUUCUUUCUCGUUGAUUUGAGUUAAAUACACUUUGAUUACUGUAAAAUCGUCACGGCUCAACUUUUGUUUAUUUUUAUUCAUUUUUAGUUCCGAUAUCUAACAAAAACCGCGUGUUUUUAAUCCCUCAAGGACUAAAAACACACUUUAAUUCUGUAUGAACUAAAGCUAAAGAUUUGUAAAUGAACAACACUGAUAACUAUUUUAUGUGAUUGCAGUCUUCCAUAUGUGUGAAGCAACUUGCUUAUGCAAUCCUUGAACUUCUCCUUAUAUCGGUCUUCCCCGAAUUGCGCAAUGUCGUCAUGAGUGUUCAUGAGAAUAUGCAUGUUCACCAACCUGUAUAGACUAAGGGUUUCCUUCUCAGCUACUUGGAGUGGCAUACUUAUGUUCCUAACUAUAGCUCAUUUUAUGAGAAAAACAAAAAAGAAGAAACAUGAUUGAUGGUUUUGUCUCCUCUAGGGAGAGAAUAUUUUUGUAAACUUAGAGAUUUUGUACAUAAAGAUAAAGAUUCAUUUUGUAUUGUGUGGUAGACUGAUAAAGAUUCAUUCUGACUUGUGAAAUGCAUCUAGUGAAUAUUUUGCUUUCUUUCUCUUUCUCACCUUCUAUCAAUUUAUUUACAUACUUACAUUUUUUUCCACAUUUGGUUCCUAUCAUAUAUCUUUUUUAAGGAAGAAUCCCAAAUGUUCAAGUUUUCAAUGAUGUUUUGGAAAUUGUUUUACAAAUCAAAGUUAAAAUAAAAUAGUGAAAAGAAAAGCUCAGAUAUAUGUGUGGAAAACUUAAAGUCCCUGACCUUACAAAAAAAAAGUCUCAUAAAUUUGUAUUCAAUGGAUCACACUAAAUUUUUGUAGAUUAUCAUUGAUGAAUAAAAUAAAAAAAUAUGGGACAAACUUUUAAAUUUGUUUUGAGUGGCCGUGAAAAAGGAAAAGAAAACUUCCAUAACAAAAAGAAAACGAUCAACACUGAAAAAUACAAAAAUGGAGAGAAAAAAAUAAUAAUUCAACACUGAUUGAACUCUUAAUCAAUGGUUGAGAUCUCAAAUUAUAAUUCAAAAUUUGCAUCUUUAUCUUUAGAUUGAAAAAUUUAAAAGAUUUUUUUUUGACUAAUUGUGAGAAGAGAAAACUUCCAUAACAAGAAGGAAACAAUCAACAACCGAAAAUACAAAAAAGAAGAAAAAUAAAUAACACUGCAUAGUGCUUUUAUGAAAGAAAAAAUAACAACACAAAGUGCUAAGAUAAUUAAGGGUGGCAAAAAUACCUAUGCUCACGGGUAAAAUCCGUUGCUGGUACGAAGCGGGUAGCUAAAUAGGUAUCCACGAGUAUUAUAAACGGGUAUUUGACUACUCAUUAUUAUAUGGAUACAAACACAGAUUUGAUUGUACUCAUGCCACGAAUAUCCAUAUCCGAUAAUAAAUUAAGUAAAUUACUAAAAUAUCAUAUUAUAUAUAUAUAUAUAUAUAUAUAUAUAUAUAUAUAUAUAUAUAUAUAUAUAGGAUAUCAUUUUAUUUCAGGAACUGGGAAGUCAAAUGAAGUCAGUGAAAUUUGGAAUGCAUAUGAAAUUUAGAUGUUUAUUUGGAUGUUUUUAUGCUUUAAUUUUACGUCAAGAAUUUGUAUUGAUUAUGUAAGCAUCGUGAAUUUUCUAUGGAUUAUGUAUGAUUGAUAAAAUUUUGAAUGGAUUAUAUACAUAUAUAUAUGUGUGUGUUUAAAAGUUGAAGUUUUUUGGUAAUUAGAAAAAAAAUUAUUCUUUGUAACAAAACAAAAAAAUCCACGGGUACACAUGGAUAUCUCAAUAUCAGUGGGUACCGCAUAAUGUAUACCCACGAGGAUACGGAGCGGACACGGGUAUCAUAUUUAUCCAACGGGGCAGGAACGAGUAUCAUACGAUCUGUAUCCAUGAGUAUCCAUUGACAUCCCUAAAAAGAAUUGAAACACUUCAUAAUGAGAUCAAGAAUAUCUUAUGGGCACUGCAAAACCAGCAUCAAUAAUUGUUUGUUGAAGGAUUGGAACAUCAACAUCACUAUGAAUUCUUGAUGCUAAACUCUUGUAUCAGUAGUAUUUUGUUAGUUAUUCAACUAAUGUUAUUGUUAUUGUGUCUUUUUAAUUUUAAAAAUUUCAUGUAAAUAUUCACGUUUAUCUUUAAUAGAAGUACAUGAAGGGUAUCUUUCGGCUUUUUUAAAGAUUUGAAGAUUUGGAAUUUUAUUAAUAUGAGAUUCGGAUUUACGUACUCCUUAGGUAAGUAAUAUAUACUACUCCUUCUAAAAAUUUGCUUUCAAUUCUUUUCUCACGUUGUCUAAGGUAUUGCCUUUUCACUGCUUAUCCAAAAUAGAUAAAUUACUCUUUUAUUUAACUAUAGGAUUGGCCAUGGUGUUUGUUUGAAUUUUCUGUUUCAUUUCCCCAAACUCACGAUUAAAGUCAUAGUAAAUGGAAAGUUGUAUAUAGUAGAUUUUCCACUUUUUUAUUUUUCAUUCCUUUCUUCUUUAAUAUUAAUCGGAAAGGAAAGACAAAAGUUUAUGGGUCAUUUGUGAUAGAUAUUUUUGUUGAGGCAAAAUUCCUAAUUAAUUUUAAAGAUAAUAAACUUUAAUGAUUAAGGAUUAAAUGGACUUUGAUUAAUUUCUUGGUAUUUAACUUGUGCUCUUGAGUGUUUUAACUAAGACAGGAAAAAAGUAUGAAUCAUACCAAGAUGCAUAAAAUCAAAGGACAUUGAAUCCAUGAACUAAUUCUGAAGUUCAGAAAGUUUGUUCAGAACGUUCUGAUGAUAGUUCAGAAGGUUGUUCAUAAGCAACCCAGAAUUCAUCAAGAACAUGAAGAGCAUGCAAGUACACUUGACAUGAAUAAAAGGUCCAGAAAAGUNNNNNNNNNNNNNNNNNNNNNNNNNNNNNNNNNNNNNNNNNNNNNNNNNNNNNNNNNNNNNNNNNNNNNNNNNNNNNNNNNNNNNNNNNNNNNNNNNNNNNNNNNNNNNNNNNNNNNNNNNNNNNNNNNNNNNNNNNNNNNNNNNNNNNNNNNNNNNNNNNNNNNNNNNNNNNNNNNNNNNNNNNNNNNNNNNNNNNNNNNNNNNNNNNNNNNNNNNNNNNNNNNNNNNNNNNNNNNNNNNNNNNNNNNNNNNNNNNNNNNNNNNNNNNNNNNNNNNNNNNNNNNNNNNNNNNNNNNNNNNNNNNNNNNNNNNNNNNNNNNNNNNNNNNNNNNNNNNNNNNNNNNNNNNNNNNNNNNNNNNNNNNNNNNNNNNNNNNNNNNNNNNNNNNNNNNNNNNNNNNNNNNNNNNNNNNNNNNNNNNNNNNNNNNNNNNNNNNNNNNNNNNNNNNNNNNNNNNNNNNNNNNNNNNNNNNNNNNNNNNNNNNNNNNNNNNNNNNNNNNNNNNNNNNNNNNNNNNNNNNNNNNNNNNNNNNNNNNNNNNNNNNNNNNNNNNNNNNNNNNNNNNNNNNNNNNNNNNNNNNNNNNNNNNNNNNNNNNNNNNNNNNNNNNNNNNNNNNNNNNNNNNNNNNNNNNNNNNNNNNNNNNNNNNNNNNNNNNNNNNNNNNNNNNNNNNNNNNNNNNNNNNNNNNNNNNNNNNNNNNNNNNNNNNNNNNNNNNNNNNNNNNNNNNNNNNNNNNNNNNNNNNNNNNNNNNNNNNNNNNNNNNNNNNNNNNNNNNNNNNNNNNNNNNNNNNNNNNNNNNNNNNNNNNNNNNNNNNNNNNNNNNNNNNNNNNNNNNNNNNNNNNNNNNNNNNNNNNNNNNNNNNNNNNNNNNNNNNNNNNNNNNNNNNNNNNNNNNNNNNNNNNNNNNNNNNNNNNNNNNNNNNNNNNNNNNNNNNNNNNNNNNNNNNNNNNNNNNNNNNNNNNNNNNNNNNNNNNNNNNNNNNNNNNNNNNNNNNNNNNNNNNNNNNNNNNNNNNNNNNNNNNNNNNNNNNNNNNNNNNNNNNNNNNNNNNNNNNNNNNNNNNNNNNNNNNNNNNNNNNNNNNNNNNNNNNNNNNNNNNNNNNNNNNNNNNNNNNNNNNNNNNNNNNNNNNNNNNNNNNNNNNNNNNNNNNNNNNNNNNNNNNNNNNNNNNNNNNNNNNNNNNNNNNNNNNNNNNNNNNNNNNNNNNNNNNNNNNNNNNNNNNNNNNNNNNNNNNNNNNNNNNNNNNNNNNNNNNNNNNNNNNNNNNNNNNNNNNNNNNNNNNNNNNNNNNNNNNNNNNNNNNNNNNNNNNNNNNNNNNNNNNNNNNNNNNNNNNNNNNNNNNNNNNNNNNNNNNNNNNNNNNNNNNNNNNNNNNNNNNNNNNNNNNNNNNNNNNNNNNNNNNNNNNNNNNNNNNNNNNNNNNNNNNNNNNNNNNNNNNNNNNNNNNNNNNNNNNNNNNNNNNNNNNNNNNNNNNNNNNNNNNNNNNNNNNNNNNNNNNNNNNNNNNNNNNNNNNNNNNNNNNNNNNNNNNNNNNNNNNNNNNNNNNNNNNNNNNNNNNNNNNNNNNNNNNNNNNNNNNNNNNNNNNNNNNNNNNNNNNNNNNNNNNNNNNNNNNNNNNNNNNNNNNNNNNNNNNNNNNNNNNNNNNNNNNNNNNNNNNNNNNNNNNNNNNNNNNNNNNNNNNNNNNNNNNAUUGUAAGGUGCAGGAUUUGAGAGGUUAUCUCAAGCAUCAUAGUGGAAACUCUCACAAGAUUGUGAGGAGUGGACUAACCCACAUUGGGUGAACCACUAUAAAUUCUCUGUGUGUUGAUUCUCUCUUCCCUAUACUCUUUACUUACUGCAUACACAACACACACAAACACAUUUACUUUAUUAAACUGUUUUUGCAAUCAGACAUCAGAACGUUCUGAAGUCUGUUUUAACUUAACCAUUCCAAAUUUCAACUUGAGAAUCAAUUUUAAGUUACAGGUUUAAUUUUUAAAGGGUCACAAUUCAAACCCCCCUUCCUUGUGACUAUUUUAUCUAUUUCAAUUUUAUGUGAUUGUUGUUUAUUAAGCACAUUUGUAUAUAACCAUACUUUAAAAAUAUUGUGUUUGAAUGCGCUUCACAUUUUGAAAAAUCACAGGAAAUAGCCUUUAUUUUUAUUUUAUUUGUGAAACUCCAAUUCAAUGCAUACAUCGCAAAUCGAGAGAAAGAAAACACGAGGAUUGGAUGGAAUGUGUUUUAUUAUGAUUCAUUUGAUACAUUCAUUUUUUGAAAAUUCACACAAUACAACCAAUUACUUAACAUACCAUUCCAUCCCCACCCCAUUACUUUUCAUUUAUCCAAACACAAUUAAGUCUAAGAUUGUUUGAUGGAAAAAUUAUAAAAUCUAACACAAGUUUCAAGAUAUUCGUUGUUAUGAAUCUAAUGUUUUCAUUCAGAAUAAAGACACAGUGUAAUCUCUCAUAAUUUACAUCCUAUUCAUAUUUAACAUGUAGAUGUAUUUAUCUUGCAAGACGUGCGAAAGUAGUGUACCACUUUUAAAUAAUUGUCAUUCACAAAUCAAUCAAUUAAAAUAUAAUUGUGCAUCAAUUUUGUGGAAUGUCAUAUGAAUGUAAAAAAUAUUGUUUGACGGAACUUUAUAGAUCUCCCAAAUUUUAAUGUAUUUGAAUGUUAUUCUAAUUCAUCAUUUCAUUUGACUCUUGGUGAUGAAUAACGUUUGUUUAAAAUAAUAUAAAUAAAUAUUACAUAAAUAUAUUAGAUCAUAGCAAUGUUUUGUAUAAUUCAAUCAAAUGUAAUCUUCUCGAUGGCCAUGUGAAGUUGUAGGUAUUGUUUGUUGUAUUAAGGAUAAAUGUUACGUUAAUUAUUAAGUUUAACGAGUUUGAUCAUUGUUAUUGUAUAAAUAUAUUAUAUGCAUUAUAUUAUAUUUUCCACUUGUGCCAUUGGUUUUUCACUUUGACAAUUGAGUAUUUUUUAUAUGAUAUGGUAUUUGUCUAUGUAUUUGAGAUAAUUAUGCCUUUAGAUUGCCAAUGUAAUCUCUCAUAAUUUGCAUCCUAUUCAUAUUUAACAUUAUGAUGUAUUUAUCUUGCAAAACGUGCAAAAUUAAUGUACCAUUUUUAAAUGUAAAGGAUAUUACUCGAUCAAAGGAUAUGCUUUUGUCUAAUCUCCCAAACUUUAAUGCAUCUACAUCUUACUUUCAUUCUUCCUAUUAUUUGAAGUGAUGAAUAAUUUCGUUAAAUUAAUAAAAAUAAAUAUUACAUAAAUACAAUUGACUUUGGCAAUGUUUCGUAUAAUUCAAUCAAAUGUAGUUUUAGUCGUGCACCGCACUGGUAAUGGUAUCCUAGUUUAUCAUCAUAGCCAUAACCACUGUUAAAAAAAGGCAAAAAAUGAUGAACCAAUGAAUUUUUUUAACAAGGAAAACACGGCUGAGAAGAACAAAGAAGACACAAAGAUCUCUCUCAACUGUGAUUUACUAGAUUAAAAAUAUGCAAUGGAUCAAAGAGAAACUAAAAAAGAAUAAAGGAAACUUAUGAAAAGUGAAAACCCUAACUAGGAGAGGCAAACACUGCUGCUUUACUUUUUUUUGUGGGAUGAAAAUGGUUGGCAAAGGUAAAUAAGGUGGUAUUUAGAGAGAGAGAGAGAGUGGCAUGAGCUGUAUUGCUAGGGUUAAACAUUUUGCAAAAGAAAAUAUUAAAUAGUUCAAAACAAUCAUAAAUGCAAAGAAGGGAGUGGUAGAUCCUCAUAUUAAAUUUUUUAGAUUUUAUUAAGCUUUUAGUUUACUUGUAAGAAAAGUAACAAUAACCACUUUCAGCUAAGUUCAGAAGUUAUUUCUUCAUGUCUCUUUUACAUUUGCGAUUUAUGUGCAAUCAACAACACACUGCUAGCAUGUUGAGAAAGAAGAAAUAGGGUGCAUAUUUUUUCUUGCAAAUAAAUAGUAAGAAAUUACUCUCUUUUGAUUAAAGAGCAUUUAUUUCAAGCUUUGAAUUAGGUUUGUUUUUGAUUGAAUUAUUUUAUUUAAUCAUGUAAUAAACAUAUAAAACAAACAAAUAAAAAUAUGGUUAUUUAUCAUCUACAACGCUUGCAAGAAUUUGGUUAUUUUCAAUAUGAAUAUUGCUUUGCACAAUUGUACUAGUAUGAAGCCUUUUCAACGAAAAACAAGGAACAUGUACAAAUUACCUUAUAUUAUUUUAGGUUGCCAAUUUUGUCCUCCAAAUAUUUUCAAAAUUACCACACUACCCAUGUUGCCAAGUGGUUCAUCGGUUUUCGUCAAACUGAUUUCGCACUGUUUAGCGGUGCUCUAACUUUUUUAUUAAAAUUUAUUUACUAAACACAUUAGAAAUUGAGGUCUUAGAUUUUUUUUAUUUAAAUUUUUUAAAAAGCAUCUAAAAGACAUUCAUUAGCAAGACGUUUUCUCUUUUAUCAUCUCCCAUGCUCAACAUCUCACAAAGUCAUCACACCAAAUAAUGGAAAAUCACAUACACACUUUAAGAAGGGAAGAUCAAAAGCUUCAUUUGAUUUGAUAUUCACUUCUAAUCAGAUUGCCAUUACUUGUUAGGAAAUGCUAUAAAUAGUUUCAACUAAUAUCUUGUAAUUAACAAUUCAUUCAAUACUAAAUAUCAAAUCAGAAGUUGUUAUAAAAUCUCAAUCUCUCUAAUCUCUCUCUUCCUAUUUGGCUUGUAAUUGCUUCAUAAUUUUUUCAUCAUUGGGUUGAGCUUGUAGAUGGAUUGUUGAGACUCUGACAUGUUUUAAGUUUUAAAAUUAUUUUCCCGAUAAUAUGUUGAAUUAAAAAUAAAUUUACAUGUCCAAUGUAUCUUUUUGUGUUUAUUAUUGCAUCCAAAAAAGAUUUGUUUGUUAUUUGUUGCUUUGUCCAGCCUAAAAUAUGUCUUCACAUGAAUAAACUCUUUACCACUGGCAAAAAAGAAAAAUAAUAAAACAAUUGCCAACAUCAAAAGCUAGCUCAUUUGGUUAAUGUUGUUACCGACUUAUAGUAAUCCAAUACGGGAUUCAACUCAACAAACCCACUCCGAUGAUCCAAUUUAAUGUAAGAAAAUUGUUUUUUUGACAACAAAAAGUUCAAUUACAGGUACUAGGUGAUUGAAAAAUUGAGCUUUAUCCGCCGAUCCAGCUUGAAAAACAAGCAAAAGGUGUGGGGUUUUACACGGUACUAGGCGCAUGACCCACGACAGGGGGUGCAGGGUGCCUUGGGCAGCAGUGAAUUGCUUCCCAAGUCUUCCCAGGCGCAUGGAGCAGGGCAUCUGAGGCAGCUCAUGAGGUGCGUUUUCAAUCGUUCUUUCGUUUGAAAACUCCUAGGAACUUGAAAUGAAUUUCCUUCACUUUGUAUUGUCUUCAACAACCUUCUAAGAACCUUUGAUCUUCAAUUCUUCAUCCUUGAUCCGUCACAUGGUGUUUUGAUUUGAUGAUUUAUGCGAUUCCUUACUACAGAAAUCUCAAAACACAUAUGGAGUUGCAUGAUCUAAGAUAAAACUGAAUUACAAUGACUCGAGUGAAAACAAUAUCAUAUGUUCCUCAAACCAUUAACAACGCCUCUGUCUCUCAUCUUAUUUGUCUUCAAAUGCAAAGAAAAAGUACUAAAAACAUAGCCAAAAUAUCAUAUGAUGCUCUGUCAUCAUGCAUUAACGCGUGUCAGACACCGAACGCACCUUCAAUCUCAAAUGUCGACUAUGUAGUACAAGAAAGAAAACUUAGCCAUAGAGCUCACGCGAAUCUAAUUUAUGCUUCUUUCUUAAAGUUUUCUUAGUUACGUUAUUACUAAUGCAUACCUCGUUAUAAUAUCACAGUUGUAAUUAUUCAAUGGAAGUUUUGAACCCAUUAAUGUUAAAUUGAAUACCUAUAUCUCUAUGGUUGGCUGGAUGACACCCUUUGAAGAAAGAAAACCAAUGACAUCUCCCUAGUUAACUUCUUUCUCCCACUUUUCAUUUAUUAUUAUUUGAUGUCUUAUCUAUCACCAACAUCAAAGUCAUAUUUUAAACCCUUAACUACAUAUUCUUCACUCUCAUCAAAAUGAACUUCAUUUAUCGAGUCAUCACUGAUAUGAACUAUUUCUCCACCAUUAACAUCAACACCAAGACCUAUAUUAAAUAUACGAGCAACAUUUUGUUUGUCAUAUACAUGAUCUUCAUCAUUUCUUUUAAUAACAUGUAAACCUAAUUCAACAACUUCAACGUCCAAUACCACUGCGUUCAACCUAUUAUCUACAUCUUUCAUUUUCCUAACAUACGAAUUCAAGUUUCAUCAUAAUCGCAAUCCUUACAUUGCUAAAAAUAAACUAUAUUCCCCGAUAUAAAAUAACAUCUGAUCGAUAAAAAACUCAUCCUCAAUAUGAAAAACAACAUCACACCCCAUCUCUCCACAACAUAAAUAUAGCAGAAAGGCAACAAACCUCAAUUUUUGUCCCCACAAAAUCUUUAAAAAACUUGUGCAUGAUGCAAACUAUUCUAACUAUACACUAUACAUAUGUUUAGCAUCAGAGUCGAAGAUAAAAUUUGAUUUUAAUAUCCGACUAUAUGUACAUUUUGUAUCAUGUUGAAUAUCCGAGAAUCACACUGAUUUACAUAUACACCAUAGGUUACCGUGAUUCUAUUGUAUCAACUUUAAUACUAAUGAAGGAGACACAUCAAAAUCAAAAUAUUACAAAUGUUGUGGUUUUAUUUAGAUAAAAUAGAAAAUGGAGGUGACUUAAUAGCUAUAAAUUUGGUGAAAUUGAGGGUUUUGUUUUUUGUUUGACUGAAAAGCAGACAAGGUGAAGAACAACUCAGAUCUCAAUUCCUUCAAAGUUUUCAACUUUCAAUCAAUUUCUCCAAUCUCAUUCUCUCACAAUGCCUCUUCUUCCUUCUUUCCACAAGCUCAUUUUUCCAACAACCCUUCAAUCUAAGCAAUUGGUAACCGAAAUUUCUCUCCUUUCAGUUUUUGUUUCUGUUUUCAAUUAAUUGUGUUUUGAUUCGAUUUGUUUGAUCUUAUGAUGUGUUUUGAUUCAACUAAUUGAUGUGUUUUAGGGCUUUGCCACUUUUUCAUAAAGUUUGGAUUUUUGUUGGUUUUGCUGUAAACCCAUGAUUUUGAUCAUCAAGUUUGGAUUUUUUGUUAAGAUUCUCGAUAAAGGGUAGUGUUUUUAUCUUUGUUGUAAACCCAUUAUUUUUUCCUGUUUAUUUUUUAUUUCUAUGCUUAAAUUCACAGAAAAGUGUUGAAAUUUGAUUCACUGUUGCUUAGGUUUUAUGAUUUUUCAGUUGUAUUUGGGUUGCUGAGUUGAUUAUUAGCCCUAGAAUUUGACUCUUUUGAUCAUAAAAUAACUUAUGGCAUUGAAAUUGAAUUUGCUAUCAUACUGAUUUCACUCAUUGAAGUUUAUUUUUUGUUUGGAAUUGAUUGUGUUUUUGAUUGAAUUUUGAUGUUGCUGAGUUGAUUAUUAGCCCUAAAAUUGAAAUUGAAAAGGUUUUUAUGAAUAUCCACAAGUUGUAUCUGAAUUGCUGAGUUGAUUAUUUACCCUAAAAUUGAAAUUGAAAAGUGUUUAAUGAUUGAUUAAUGAUUAUCCACCAGUUGUAUCUGAAUUGCUGAGUUGAUUAUUAGCUAUAAAAUUGAACUGGGUUGGUUAGUUUAUGUCUUUAUUUUCAUAGUAUAUUCGUACAUUAGAUAUAACGGUUGUAAUUUUUCUCGGCUCUAUCUUUACGAGUUGAACAAGCUAAGCUUAUCUAGAAUUGAAUGAGAAAUUCUUACCUAAAUUUGUGUCAUUGAAAUUGAAUUUGCUAUCGUAUUGAUUUCUUGAUAGAAUUUAUGCUCUUGGGUGUUUUGCUGUAAAAUCAUUAAUAUAUGACACAGUGAACGGAUUUUUAUGCUGCCUAUGAAAUUCUACUUGGAUUUUAUUUCAUGUAUUUGCUAUGAACAACUUGAAGGCAUAGAUUAACUUAUUUAGUGUAGUUAUAGAUUCUCACACUGACUAUGUAUGAUGAAUUUUAGAUUGCAGUUGCUUGUAGCGUUCUUGAAAUUCAUUUUUUGAACGAAUCUCCAUAUUCAGCAUGGUAGUUAAUAUCACAUCACAUAUCACUAAUUGAAAUCGAACAAUUUAAAGAAGUUCUGUGAUUCAGAUCUCACACCUAGAUAAUUUUUAGUCAAAUCAGAUGGUAUUUGACUUUGAAAAUCGCAAAAAGUGUGUGCUUGUGUUAAUUUUGGGCCGAGUACAUGGCCCGAUUAAAGUCAACGGACCUGGGGUAAAUCCUCAAACUUCCUACAUCUGCAAAUGAAAAGCCUCUUCUCACUGGAAAACCUUUUAAUGUGACAGAGAACCCUUUCUGUCUGCCCUGUGAUCGGAUCCUUUCUUCCCGUGACUGGAUCAUCCUUCGCUCUAGGAACUCACCUGUGUUGUGCGCUGUUCUUAUGCUCGUUGCCUUGCGGCCAGAAAACCUUGGCCGUAAUUUUGUGCACAGUUCUGCUGCUGUUAUGCUUCAGACACACACACACACACACACACAUAUAUAUACUUUAGCUUAAUUAGUGAUUUUGGGAGUGAACAAUUGGGGCCCAUACUUAGGCCGAACCAAUUUAUUUAUUUAAUAGAGACACUUUCUUAUCCUUAUUAAUUUAAGUUUAAAUAAGCAUUUUAAGUUUGAUUUAAAUGAUCUCUUUAUGAAUUAUGUAGAAUCUUAUGUUCGUGUUACGACUCCAAGCUUAUGUUUAAUUUUUUUCCUCUUUUUGAUUCUGACUCAUUCAUAUCUCAAUUUUAAAAUUUUCAGUCUUUUACUAUGAGCAUUUACUAACAUUUGGAUGCUCAAAAUUAUUUUCAAUUGCAGAGGAUUCCGGAUAAUUUUCUGAGGAAACAUGGGGACCAACUUUCGACUGUCGCAACCCUCACUAUUCCUGGCGGCUCCGUCUGGCGUCUAGGAUUGAAAAAGGUUGACAACAGUAUUUGUUUUGUGGAUGGCUGGCAAGAUUUUGUUCAACGCUACUCAAUUGGCAUUGGAUACUUACUGGUAUUCAUAUACGAAGGAAGGUCAAAUUUCAUCAUUCAUAUCUUCCGUACUGCUGAGUUAAACUAUGAUUCAACAAUGAAAAGCCGGACUGAAGGGCCUUUCUAUGAAGCCUAUAAUUAUGUUUUUGAAGGCAUUGAAGAUAUCGACUCCUUUGAUUUCCUGGAUUCAGCACCUUCAAACCCUACUGGUGCAUUGCAAGGCAAGGAUUCUACUGGAUGUAUGGAUCAACUGAUACCAGCGGAUAAUCAUAUCCAAAAAAGACAAGAAAAUAAGGAUACCAAGAAAACUUCAAGAAAGAAGCGGGGAUCGCGGAAAUCAGAUCCGAGUAAGCUUUUUUAGCAAAGUUUUCUUUUUACUAUACUAUGUAGCAUUGGCAUUUCAGAUUGAAGGCAUGCCCGGUGUCUGACACACGUCAAUGUCCGUCUCAGACGCGACACUAACACGUGUGGUUAUAUUCAAAUAUUUCACGUUUUCAAAUUAUGGCUGGUAUCAACGUCUCAGUGUCAUGUCUGUCUGUCAGUGCUUCAUAGCUAUUGUCUAGUAAUCUAAAAAAUUAAUUGUCAUCAAUAUAAUUUGUGGAACUGCAGGUGCACAGGAAGCCUCCACUGAAAAUGACGAGGAGGCAGAGCGCAAGCGAGACACCAAGAAAACUUCAAGAAAGAAGCGGAAAUCAGAUCUGAGUAAGCUUUUUUAGCAAAGUUUCUUUUUACUAUACUAUGCAGCAUUGGCAUUUCAGAUUGAAGGCAUGCCCGGUGUCUGACACACAUGAAUGUCCAUCUCAGACGCGACACUAACACGCGUGGUUAUAUUCAAAUAUUUCACGUUUUCAAAUUAUGGCUGGUAUCAACGUCUCAGUGCCGUGUCUGUCUGUCAGUGCUUCAUAGCUGUCUAGUAAUCUAAAAAAUUAAUUGUCAUCAAUAUAAUUUGUGGAACUGCAGGUGCACAGGAAGCCUCCACUGAAAAUGUAGCCUAUGAAAGUGCGUCUGCAAGAGUAAGACACAAUGUGUCAGAUGAAGAAAGAGAAAGGGCAAUGAAUGAGGCUAAUGCAUUUGAACCAACUAAUCCUUACUGUCGUGUUAGUCUGCGACCCUCCUAUUUAUAUAGGGGAUGCAUAAUGGUGAGAUAUUGAAUUCAAUUUUUUGAUAUUUUUCUUUGGUCUUCUUUGACAUGUUGUGUUGCAUACUAAGCUCGUGUUUCUGUUUACCAGUAUUUGCCUACCAAAUUUCGAGCAAAUUUGAAGGGUGUUUCAGGUUUUAUACCGCUUCAGACAUCUGAUGGUGAGAAACAGUGGCGUGUUCGCUGCCUUGAUAAUGAAGGCCGGAUAAAGUUAAGCCAAGGAUGGUACGAAUUUACACAAGAGAACGGUUUAGGGGAAGGGGAUAUCUGUGUCUUUGAACUGCUUAAUACCAGAUAUGUAGUGUUGCAAGUUACUUUGUUUCGUUUAAAAGAGGAUGAACCCUCACUUGCAGCACCGCGUUAGCUCAACCUAAAAAUUAGCUGGGAGAGUUAACUCCUGAUAGACAAUUACAAAACUGUGUUGAUUAGCUCUUACUUCUGAGUGAUCCUGGUAUUCUCUAGUUUAUUCAGUUUGGAACUUUGAUACUUUCUGUCCAUAGGCCUUUUAACUUAGUUAUGGUAGUUGUGAAUCUUUUGAUAUGGAUAUUUUGUUUUGGCUUGGAUCCUCUGAAGCAUGAGUACUCGUAAAAAUGUGAAGUACCCGUACCGGGUACUUACCCAUACUGGGUACGCGUACGGUACUUGUGGUACUCCAUUUUUGCUAAUUAUUCUAUGGUGAGUGAAAAUUGUAGCUUUCUCUUAUAUAUGCAUAUGAUAAUGUAGUAUUAUAUGUGCAUGAGUUUUUUUGUUGUUAUAACCAACUUUAAUUUUCGACUUUUUAAACUUUUAUCGUGAUGUUUUUGAUGUAAAUAGAAGAAUUUAGCCCUCUCAUGUUAUAUUAUAUAACAUCGUGAUUGAUUUUACUGACGUACCCGUACCUUAAUUUUUAAAAAAUUGCCGUAAUCUUGUACCGGUACCCAUACCUAUGCAACAUAGCUUGGAUUGUAAAUAGACUGUGCUAUCUACUCAAUCAUAAACUGAGUUGAAACGCUUGUCCUAGUGCCGUAUCUUGGGAUUAACUCUUUUUUUUUUUUUUUUUUUGGUUUUGAAGUUUUUAGCUUCAUCUGCAUGAAUAUAGUGAUUCAGUUAUUGCGUGUUGUUUAUGUGACUGCUGUUGAUGAGUUUUUAUACCUUCUCCUUUGACUUUUAUCUAUUUAUGAUGUUGUUUGGAUUUAUGGUAUGAUAUGGAUACAAAGCAACAUUGAUGAUAGCUUUUAUUCAUUGUUUUUCAUAUAUCAUAUCUAUAAUACCAUUCUUAAAAAAAGGUCCAGUUUAUGUGAUAUUGUAGUCACAGACAAGAAACUUUUCAUUUUGGGAUCCAAGUGCAGGAUUUAAAAAAAUAAUGUGCAUCUGGAUUUCAUUGGACUUCUUUGUAUGAUUGAUGUUACAAAUAUGAAAAAGGGACCUCUUUUAGGCAGUGAUUUUAUUUUUGAUAGAUUGGGCUCGGUUUUUCAGUGCUCAUUUAUAGAAUACCUUUCAUGUUUUUUGGACAUGUGUAUCUAAAUUGUAUAAAUUAUUCGAAAGUAUGCACCUGGAUUGUACAGAUUUAUAGUUUUUCUCGGACUCAUAUUCGGACUGAUGUUGGGUUAUGAAUGCGUCUUAAGUUUUUUGAAUGUGCAUGUGAAGUUUGUUAUCUUCAUGAAGGUUGUCUAUUAUAAGCUGUGAAAUUUGUGUGCAAGAGUUUUAUUUUCGAGCAGUUGUACUUUAUUCUAGUGUUAGUAAAUUGUUGUGAAUUUCAUAUAUAUAUGAUUAAGUUGAAUAUGUAUUGGAUGAAUUGGCGGGUACUAGAUAGAUGAAAAUCAAAUAAAAUAUAGACAAGUUGCUCUUUUGUCUGAAUUACAUAUGUUAUACUGUUAUGUUGUCUGAAUAUUCUGGCAGUUAGAUAUAUAUGAAAUGAAGAAUGGUUUAAUGUGGAAAAUGUAAACACGUUAAAUUGUAUUAGGUUCAUUAAUUGAAUAAAAAAUGUAAGUAGUUAUGGGCAAAUGACUCAAGUUGCAUAUAUAUAGAAAAUGAAUGUCAAUAUCUUGUGCAAGUUUUUUUUUUUUCGACAAAAGUUUCUUGUGCAUGAUGGUUGUCUGAUCAUUGUGGUUUAAUUUUUUUAGUUUCACUACCUAAUUAGGCUGUAGUAGCUAACCAAAAGAUACUUCUUGUUAUUUAUAUUUAUCUUGUUAAGACACACGAAAUAUUUUCACCGGAAUAUUGUUAAGACUCUAAAGAGUCUUAACAAGAAGAUUUUUUACGAAAUAACAACAAAAUAUUUUCACCGGAAUAUUGUUUGCCAACUCAGAUUGAUUUUUUCAUGCAAAUUAGGAAUAUGAGACACUAUGUUUAACUGGAUGCAACGUCGACCAGUUUUUACACACUAUUCUUGAUGAAAUUAAUUAAUAUAGUUAUCAUAUUUGUACUGUAGUGUUCAUAAAUUUUCUGUGUUACUAAAUGGUUAUUGACUUCUAUUGCUUUAAACUGCAUUUGAUUAGUAUUUUGUCAUUAUGUUAUCUUCUAUGUUUUUGUGAAUCAGCCAAAAUUACUGGUUAAUUUUUAAUCAGCUUGCCACUAUCUGUUUCACAUGAAAUAACUACCUGCUUAUUUGGCUUGUAACUACUUGGUAUUAUUUUCAUUUUUGGCUUGAGCUCAUAAAUGCUUGAAUUUCUGACUUGUUUUUUCGAAAUACUUUUCCCUAAUAAAAUCUUGCAUUAAAAUUUCUUUACCUGUUCUAUUUAUCUUUGUUUUUUAUUGCAUCCAAAAAAGACCAGAUUGCAUUUUUCUGUUUUGUCACAAGUUGCAGUUGAUGGGAGUAAAGUCAUGCUCAAAAUAUCUUUACAUAAAUUAAAAAUUACAUCCUUAGUCAUGUGGAUGUACCCUCACAGACAAAGUAGAAAACCAAAAUAAUUGCCAAUGGCUUAUCCUUAUGCUUCAUAUUGUCUACUUUAUCUUGCAGAUCCUCUGGGUUGGUGGCACUUUAAGAGUUAGGACUCCUCGGGUGUUUAUUGGUGGCAGUGUAAUUGAUCAUAAGCCUUUAAGAGUUCAGACUCCUCGGGUGUUCAUUGGUGGCGGUGUAAUUGAUCACAAGCCUUUACAAACCAUAGGUGAAUCUGAUGGAACAGCCUCAAAUCACAAUUAGAGGAACAACUAGAAGCCGCUCGCAGAGCAGGUGAUGCGAAGAAACUACUCUUUGGUUAGUAAUAAUUUUUUGUAUAGUUUGUAUUCGUUCAUUUGACCUGGAUUGUUGGAUAUCCAUGCACUUUUGGAAUUUAAGAUUUCAAUUUUCAAUCUUAGGAUUUGGACUGAAUGUUAUAGCCCAUGCACUGAAUGUUGUUCCCACUUAUAAUUAUUCAAUGUGGGAUUCAACAUUCCCAGUCAUGCCUAGAAUUAGAUUUCUGUAUAUUCGGUUUGCAAGACUGACAUCUGUAUGUAGCGCAACAACUCUUGGAUAGGCUCCUCCACCAUCUUUGAAGUGGGCUUACAGUCUAACUCACCCCACUAAAUCAGCUUGUUAGACAAUGACUGGUUUAUAAGGACUACCUAGGUCAUGUCCCUUGUUGAUGCGAGUCUCUUAAGUGUGGACUGAUGCAGGUGGAAUAACAAGGAUAUAAACAUCUCCUCACUCCCAGGACUAGACAUAUGGAGCGUAGACAAAUGCAAGUAGAAUAACAAAGAUCUUGGUACAUAAACAGAUCUUAGAUAGGCUUAAAUAACAUUUUAGGUUUUGGGUCAAGAUUUGGUGUCAAUCUAUUUUUUUGGUUUCUCAUUUCAUCCCAUUGAUCAAUACUCCUCUGCUUAUACUCCUUUUACCCCCCUAGUGACCCAUCUCUUAUAAGGGUUAAUGUAAGGGUUGAUUGUUAUGGUGGGAUGUGAGUUAUUGGACGGUGAUUAAUGUUCAGGAGUGCUCUACCUGUUUGCCGACAAUUCCGUAAACUCGUCAAGACUUCUGCCUGAGUGAGACUUAGAAAUGUGGAGGAGACCCACACUUGAGGGGGGAAUUGUUGUAUAAAUAAGUGUGAAUUAGUUGUUGAAGUUCCGCAUUGUUUGAAAAUGUUUUAAAUGAAGACAGUAUAAUUGUGGAGACCCUUGUAAUCAAUGCCUUACAGUUUUGGAUCAAGAUGUGGUGUCAGCCCAUUUUUGUGCUCUCUCACUUCAGUCCAUUAAUUAGAGUUCAUCUUGCUCUUUCAGCCACCCAUCUCUUGCAAAGGAUUUUUUGAGCAUAAAUUAACCCCAUUAGUUAGCUCUUGGGGUUGGGUUGCACUCACUAAUAACCACUGUUGAAGCCAUAUCAUUGUUUAACGUGUGACUCUCAACAUUCUAUUUCUUGAUCUUUCUUCUAAGACGAAUGCUUACAUCCCGUUUAUCUUUGACCCAUUUGCCAAGACACCGUUUUCUUAGUGGGUAAAACCAAGGUUUCUCCUGCGAACUGUUGGAACUAAUCUCUCGAGGUGAUUGAGGCCCAUUUUAAGUGGUUGACCUCUCCUAACAUAUGUUUUUCCACACGCACUGACCAAAUAUCAAACCCCUAACAAAUGGUUAUGAGAAUCAAGCUUCUCCAUUGUGCCACACCAUGUUGGGUAAACGCAUCAAGGUUUUGGCAAUUAUGCAAUCUAGUUAUUAGUGAUAAAUUGAAUAAGACCCUAUUAUCCUAUAAACUUCAAUGCUUGAUGUGCAAAUUUAAUAGUACCGAACUUUUUUUGUAGUACAGAACUCACUAGAGGCUGAGAAAGACCGAGAAAAACCAAGAGAAACUAUUAAGAAAGAUCUUGAGACUAAUGUGUUGAUUAUUAUCUAUUUUAUUAGCGUUGAUAUAGUUUCCUCAUUUAUCUAUUUUUCCUUUAUCAAGAUAUUCUCUUUUGCAUAUAAACUUGAAAGAAAGUUAAACAAGAUCUUCAUCAUCAAACUCAUUCUUCUUCUAGUGCGGUUGUUCUUAAUUCAUCCUUUAUCUCACUAUUCACUAUCCAUAUUCGUUCAUCUUCAUCAUGCAUUUGGUAUUCUUCCUAAAAAACCAUACUUGAAUAAAAAGGAUCUCAUUUUCCAACAACAGAAUCAAUCAGUUUCCUUCAAAACCCAAACAGCCCAAGUUGAGUGUUUUUGUUUGACUCAAGCUGCUGAAAAGGGCUGGAGUUGUAGAAAGUGAAGAACAGUCCAACAGCUUAGAUCUGAUUGAUUCUUCCAAAGUUUUCAACUUUCAAUCUCUCCAUUCUCUCAAAAUGCCUCGCCUUUCUUUUCAUUAGCUCAUUCUCCAAACAACCCUUCUAUUUAGACAAUUGGUAGCUCAUUUUCUCUCUCCUUUCAUUUUUUUUUUCUUUCUCUCACUCAUUUAAGUUUGCUUUUUUUGGUUGUGUUUGAUGUUUUUGAUUGGAUUUUGUUGAUGUUUUGGUGGUUGCAUGAACAGGGUUUUGCUAAUUUUAUUAUAUUUUUUCACUCUCACUUAUAAAACCUGACACCCCUUUUCAUAAAGUUUGGAUUUUUUGUAUGAUUUUGAUCACAGUUUGGAUUUUCCGUUAAGAUUCUUGAUAAAGGGUAGUUUAUUUUUUAUUUUUUUUAAGUUUACUUGAUGAAGGUUAUACCUGAAUUCCUAGAAAAUGUUGAAAUUUGAUUCAGUGUUGUUUAGGUUUUGUGUUUCUUCGAAAGUUGUAUCUGGGUUGCUGAGUUGAUUAUUAGCGCUAGAGUUGAAUUGGGUUGGUUUGUUUAUGUUUAUUUUUCUAGUUGAGGCAUAACAUAACUUGCUCUAUAUUAGACUCUGGAGCAUAACAAAACUUGUGGCAUAUUGAAUUUGCUACCAUAUUGAUUUCUUGAUAGAAUUUAUGCUCGAGUGUUUUGGUCUCUGUCAAUUGAAGAACUAAUUGGUAUUUUACAUUAGAAUUGAUAUUUUUGAGAACUAGCAAUGUCUCUUGUCACUUGUUUUAAGUGAAGGAAAAGGCACAGUGAACCGGUUUUUAUGCUUCCUUUCUGUCCAAAUUUGUUUUGAUACUUUGCCUACGAAUUGAUAUUUCUUAUAUUUGCUAAGAAGACGUGAAGGCGUUUAAUAAAUUAUUUUAUUUGAACCAAAGCUAUUAAUCAGCCAUAAUUGAACAAUUUACAUAUUCUUUAGAUUGAAAUUGAUGGUAGCAAUCCGGAAAUUAGUCAUUUUUUAACAAAUCUCGAUUUCCAGCAUGGUAGUUAAUAUCACAUCACAUAUCAGUCAUAAUUGAACAAUUUAAAGAUGAUUUUUUUCUGAGCUCUGUAAUUCAGAUAUCACACCUAAUCACUUUUUUGGUCAAAUCAGAUGGUUUUUGCCUUUGAAAAUCACAAAAAGUGUGUGCUCGUGUGUUAAUUUCGGACCGAGUACAAGGUCCGAUUAAAGAUAACGCACCUGGGGUUAAAAAGGAGCCGCAACUCCUCGAACCUCCUAGAUCUGCAAAUGAAAACCUCUUCUGAACUGGUGUCCAAGAUCCCUUUUUGCCUUGUGGCCGGAUCCUUCUGCCUUGCACCAGGAUCCUGCCUGUGUUGUGCGCUGUUCUCUGCUCGUUGGCUUGCGACCAGAAGUUCAGAACCCUAAUGUUGUGCGCAGUUGUGCUGCUGUUAUUCUUCACUUUGUUUCAAUAGAAUAUCUAUUUGUCUGAAGCACCCUAUUUAGACGCGCCUGGUUUAUUCGUUUUUUAUUAUUCACUAGCUUAAUUUGUGAUUUAGUGUGUUUUUGCAUUUCUUUACUCGUUGGGAGUGCACCAUUGGUCCCCACACUUAGGUCAAACCAUUUUUUUUUGUCGAGGGAAAGGUCGAACCAAUUUAUUUAUUUAACAGUAGUAAUUAAGUAAAAAAAGGAUGUAAUAGAAUUACUUUCUGAUGGUUAUGAUUUUAAGUAUAAAUAAGCAUUUUAAGUGUGAUUUAUAUGCUCUCUUUAUGAAUUAUGUUGAAUCUUGCAUUCCUGUUACGAUUCCAUGCUUGUGAUUUUAUUUCUCCAUUCAAUUCUGACUCAAAUCUCAAUUUUAAAAUCUCCAGUCUUUUACUAGCAUUUACUGAUAUUUUGAUGCUCAAUAUUAUUUUCAAUUGCAGAGGAUUCCAGAUGAUUUUCUGAGGAAAUAUGGGGCCCAGCUUUCGACCAUCACAACCCUCACUGUUCCUGAUGGCACCGUCUGGCAUCUAAGAUUGAAAAAGGUCGACAACCAAAUUUGUUUUGUUGAUGGCUGGCAAGAUUUUGUUCAACGUUACUCCAUUGGCAUUGGAUAAUUUCUAGUAUUCACAUGUGAAGGGAAUUUAAAUUUCAUUGUUCAUAUGUUUAAUAUAAGUACUGCUGAGUUAAACUAUCAAUCAGCCAUGAGAAGCCAUACCGAAGGACCUUGCCAUUGAAGAUAUCCACUCCUUUAAUUCCUGGAUUCGUCACCUUCAAUUUUUAUUUUUAUUUUGAAAGGUGUCACCUUCAAACCUUACUCCUGGUGCAUUGCAAGAAUAGGUUUUUACUGGACCUAUGGAUCAACUGACACCAGUGAAGAAUCACAUCCAACUCAGACGCGAAAACAAUGAUACCAAGAAAACUUCAAGAAAGAAGCGAAAGUCAUCUCGAGUAAGCUCUUUUAGCUAAGUUUACUUUCUAUAGUACUAUGUCGCACCAACAUAUCAGAUUGAUAGCCUGCCCAGUGGCUGACACACAUCAAUGUCCAAUAUUGGAGAUAUAGAUUAGUGGCAUAUUAGUUCUAGUAAAUAGUAGUAUAAAUAGCUAGUAACCACCCCAUUAGUGGGUAACUAUCUCAUUUGUAAUAAUAUCCUUCUCAUCAAUACAAUAGUUUCAUAGCUUUUCUCUCAUUCCUUUCAUGGAUGACAUGUCUCAUAACAUCCAACUCAAACGCUACACUGACACAUGUGUUUAUGUUCAAAUAUUUCAGAUUUUCAAAUUAUGAACGGUAUCGACAUCUCAGUGUCGUGUCAGUGCUUCAUAGCUGUUAUCUAGUAAUCUAAAAAUUAGUUUUGUCAUCAAUAUAAUUUGUGGAAAAGUGACAGAUGAAGAACGAGAAAGGGUAAUGAACGAGGCAAGCACAUUUGAACCAACAAAUCCUUUAUGUCUAAUUGUCCUUCGACCCUCCUAUAUUUUGACAUUUUUCCUUAGUCUUCUUCGACAUGUUGUGUUGUGUACUUGGCUCGUGUUUCUGUUUUCCAGUAUUUGCCUUCUAGCUUAGCAGAAACAAAUUUGAACGGCAUUUCCAUUCUACUUGAUUUGAUGAUAAGUUUAUUGGGUGGAUGGAUGGAUCCAUGAAUAUAAAUGACUAGACUGUAGAGUGCAUGAUUGGAAACUUGAAGAGAGUAGACUGUAUAGUUAUAGACAUUGAUGUGAUAAUAAGUAAUCAUUAUUGAGAUUGAUAUGACAGUAAGUAUAUUGAGGGAUUGAUAUGUCAGUAUUAAUGGAACAGAUUAGCAUGAUGGAUUAUUUUGAUUAAUGGAAUGCACAAUCAAUAACUAUUUUGAAAUUUUGAUAUAAUCAAAGAUUAUUGUAACUAAUCUUUAGACAUUCAAGGACCAAAAUGGUUAUUAUCUUUUUUGUAACUCUUAAGUAAGGUACUCGUAUUUGCUGGGGUGAGUGGUAUGCACUUCAGACAUAUUUUUUAAGAUUCCACGAAACUUGUAAAAUUGUUUGAGAUAUAGGAAAAAUGUGUCAAACCAAAAAAAAUGUGACUCAUGGUGUUUUCUUUGUGGUGUGCUUUAUAUACUUCCAUUGGCAUGUGAAAUCUUUUCCAAUGGUGAUAUUAGAUGUAUACAAAGAUCAUAUCUAAGUUUGAGAUUUCAUUAUUUAAUUGUAAAAUAAAUAUUGCAAUUUGACAAAAUACGAUUUGAGACCUCUUUGGUGCAACAAGGUCUUGAUCUAGUCUUUAGAGAAGAUGUGGGUACCAUGAAAACAAGUGAUUGGACUUAGAUCUAAAGAAAGGUUUAGGAGCACUCUAUUGGAUUAAUUCUUGCUUCCAAGAUUAAGCACAAUAACAAUAAGAUUAUGUUUGGAUGGAGUGUUUUUUGAAGUGUUAUAUGAUCAUUUAUUAUAUUAUUUCAGUUUAAGUUUGUGUACUAUGUGGUUUCGUAUUCUAGUCAUCCUUUUGUUUGACAUGAGACUGUAUGGACUUGAAAGAGUCGUUAAUUUUUGAUGUCGUUGUUGCAGGGAGUUGAUGGUACGCGAUUCGAUUUCAUGCUAACGACCGAGUCAUUCGCCAGAUAUAGACCCGUUUGGUACUCACAAACGUCGAUCGUUAAUGGUGUUCGUUUGUUAGAUUGAUUAGGGUUGUAUUUACUGUGUUGUUGUUGAUUCACAUGGAUUGACUGAGUUAGAUUUUAUGUCCUACAAUUUUUACAUAAUUUUCCCUUUUUUAAAUAAUAUAUACGAGCAAUUGACAAAAGAUUAGAGUUGGUACCAACUUAGUUGGACGCUUUUUGAUGUCAUUAAUUUUGCUUUUUUAAUUCAUCAACAAAAGAAUUUUUUUUUUUUUUGAGAGAAAAAAAAAAAAAAAUUUAUUAUAUUAUUCAUUCAGUUUUUUGGAAUCUCAAAUAUAUGUCAAAAUAUAAACUUUAGCAUUAUAAAUUUCUUCCUACAAAAUUCUCCAUUCAAACAUACUUUAAGAGAUAAAGUAUACAUGUUCCCAUUGUUUAUGUUUACCGUGUGAGAUUUUUCUCAAUUUCAUCUUUUUCUUUUGAUAAUGUGUUACUGUUUCUUUAACCUUUUUUUUUGGACCAAAACUGUUUCUUGAACCUUCAUAAUAUGUGGAAGGGAAAAUAUCAUGAUGCAAUGUAACCAAUUAAAUGUAAUUAUAUUGCAUUGUUCAAGUUUUAUAAUAUGCUAAAGAGAUGUUUUCAUGUGAUCUUUAUUGCAUUUGCUGAAAGAAUAUGUUAUGGUACUUUCAUGUGAGUAGUUACAAAGUUCAAGUAUUUAAUAUGUAAAGUUUUCUCCAUUUUUGUUAGAUGAAGCUCCAACAGCCUUGGUUAGAUUCAUUGGGCAGAAACAGUAUAAACGUUGUGUCAGUGGUAUGUAUAUAUUACUUUAGUCAGGCUUAAUUUCUUUCUCAUUUAUUUAAAAGUUAAAUACAUUUUGAUCCCCAUAAAAUUGCGACCGUUCAUGUUUAUAGUUUAUAUAAUCUGUUCAUUCAUUUUAGUUUCUAUAUCUAACAAAACUACAUGUUUUUAAUCCUUUUGUAAGGACUAAAAACACAGUUUUUUUGUUUGUUUUGUUUUACAUAGAUUGAAGAAAUACAUGUAGUCAUAGUGAAUAAUUUUCAAUCAUUGUUGAUUUUCUCUCACCUUCGAUUAAUUUGUUACUUAUUUAAUUAUGGGAGUAAGUCAUUAGAUUUUUUUUUUUUUUUUUAACUAAUUAGAAUAUUUUUUUUGAAGGAGUCAUUGAUUAGAAUAUGUUGAUUAUAUCAAGACGUUUUGCAGAACAAAAAAACAUUCUCCCCAUUAUGGUAGCCAUAUUUCAACCUUAAUUUGUUGCUUAAUCCAAAUAUAUCACCAAAGAUGUUUUGGAGCCAAACGAGACAACAAAGUUGGGUUAGGCACACCAAGAACAAAAUAUGGUUCACUGUCAAAAUAGUAAAUGCCAAAAUAAGUUGAAUAAACAAAAAAUUAACUUGAAACUAAUCAACUUUCUCCCAUUAAAAAUUGGGAUAAGACUAAAAAUCUAGUGUUGUGUACUUAGCCCGUGUUUCCGUUUUUCAAUAUUUUCCUUCAAGCUUUGUAGAAAAUAAUUUUAACGGUGUUUUAAGAUUCAUUAAGCUUCAGAUCUUCGAGGGAAGACAAUGGCCUAUUCUCGCUGCCUUUAUAAAGGAGGUUGGGUAAAGUUAGGGCAAGGAUGGAAUGAAUUUACACUAGAGAACAAUUUAGAAGAAGGUGAUAUAUGUGUUUUUAAACUACUUAAAACUAGAGAGGAAUUUUUGCAAGUUACUUUGUUUCGUGUAAAAGAGGAUGAAUCUAUUAGAAGGUUAAUUCACUUAGUUAGAAAGUUAGUUUGAAGUUAUUAGUUAGUUAACUUGUGAAUUAUGUAAGAACUUAACUAGCUUACUUGUGGGUUAAGUAACCAUUCUUUGUUGUGGAGUUUGUUACAUCCCUUGAUGUAUAUAUACUAUAGUAUCACUUGUAAAUAUUAUGAGAUUCAUUACUAUCAAAUAAAGUCUUUUUUCAAUUGACCAAUUCUCUCUAUUUCUUCUCAAACCCUAAAAACCACAAACAAGUUUUGCACUCUUCUUUUAAGUUGUCCUUGAGCAUCUAGGAAGUCUCUUGGAGUUGUUCUUGAGCAUAAAUAUUUAGGUAGUGUCUUAGAGAAGGAAGUCUUAAGUAGGUGUGCUUAAGCAUUGAAGUCUCUUGCAGUUGUGCUUGAGCAUUGAGAAGUCUCUUGAAAGUGUGCUUGAGCAUUUUGUAAUCCAUAGUGAUUAUAGUGAAAUCCCUUGGAAGUGCAAGAGGAUUGGAGUACUCCUGAAUUGUGGGAGGAACUAGUAUAAAAUUGUUUUGUCUCUGUUUUCUCUUUUUUGUCUCUUUAUCUUUGUGUUCAGACUAUGUAUUAGAAUCUUAUACCUCAAAUUCUAAUCAAGUCUUAACACUAAGAAAAAGAAACCACAAAAAGCCAACACAAUUCAACCCCACUUUUUGUGUUUUUCUCACCUUCAUAAGACACCAAAAGAAGCAUGGUCGGGAGUUAAGCCAAUGCAUGGUUCAACAUCUUAGGGUGUUUGGCUCAUUGUGUUUAAGACACAUUCCUGAUCAAAUGAGAAGAAAAUUAGAUGAUAAGUCUCAAUCUAUGAUUUUUGUUGGAUAUCACUUAACUGGUGCUUACAAGAUCUAUGAUCCAAAGAAUAAGAAGGCAAUGUUCAACAAAGAUGUUAAGUUUGAUGAAUCGAGAAGCUGACACUGUAAAGGCAAGACAUCAUGUAAAACUGACAAUCAGUUAUGUUUGUCAGAAUCUGAAUCAGAUUAGCAUGAACUUGAAGAACAAGUAGAGAAUAUUGAAGUUACAGAGGAAGGAGGUGUAAACAAGCCAGCAAGGAACAUUCAACAACCUCAAAGGUUGAAUGACUAUGUGAGAUUCCCUGAUACAUCUAUAGGUGAUGAUGGUGAUGGAACUCAGUUAACAAUGUUUGUUAAAACUAAGCCAGUUACAAUCGAGCAAGUAUUUAAGCAAAAACACUAGAAAGAAGCAAUGCUUGAUGAACUGAAAUCAAUAGAGAAUAAUGAACUUGGAGGUUAUUUCAUUUACCUCAUAAUAAGAAGUGUAUUAAUGUCAAGUGGUUCUUUAAGACUAAGUUAAAGCUAGAUGGUCAGAUAGAAAAGUAUAAGGCUUGGGGUGUUCGUGGUGUGGUUCGGCUCGGUUAUGAGGCAAAAAGUGAACCGAUACAAAAAAUAAAAAAUGUGCGGUUCGGUUGGUGCUAAAAAAAAUCCGAUCCAAUUUAACGCGGUUUAAAUAGGGGUAGCACUUAGGUGACAUAGAGAAUUGGUGACAUUGACCAACCACAAUGUCACAAGUGACUUUUUUUUUUCCCUCUCUUUUACAAGGAUUAUGACAUUGUGAUUAGCCAAUGCCACCAAUGUCACCAAAUUCUAUGUCAUCCAAGUGUUAUCCAUGAUAUAGGAUGGAAUGGAUAGCAUCCCGUUCCAUUCCAUUCCUUUUUUAGAAAACCAAACAAUAAAACUACGUUCUAUCCCACUCCAUUUUAUUCCAUUACCUCUUUUAAAAAACUAAAAUGAGAAAUUAAAAUACAUAAUAUCUCUCAUAUGUUCCUCUUUUUCAGUAUUCGAAAAUAGGAAAUAGCGUGAAGACCCAUUUUAAUUCUCAUAAUUUUUUUAUGGUACAAUUUAGCAUUGGAAAAAUAAAAUUGAAAUUAGUGACUCACAUUUUCAUAUUUGGGACAAAUUAGUCCCAUAUUCAUUAUAGUAUAAUUUGUCUCAAGUAUUAAAAUGUUAUGGACUAAUUUGAAUUUUAUUUUUGUUAGAACUAAAUUUAGCUUUUAGAAAAAUUAUGAGGGAUUAAAAUGGAUAUUCACUCUAAAAAACAUAGUAAAUGUCAUUUCUCAAAACAAUUUUCCAAUUCUAUUUUAACAUCUUUUUGUCCUUCAAAUUUUCAAAACUCAAAACUAAUUUCGAAAACAAAAAUUAAAUAUGCCUUUAGCAAAGAAGACUUGAGUUUUACAUAUGAAAAUAUAUGAAUGAUUUUACAAAAUUAUUCAAAUAAUCAAUACUUUGUUGUAUAAGUGAAGUAAGUGUUAGUGUGUUACACUAUGUUAACAUUUGAUCUACCAUUAAAUCCCUAAGCUCUGCCAUUAGACUAAGUAUGAUAUAACAUUUCUUAUUGAUAUAAUGGUAAAAACACUUUUGCGAAUAUGCAAACCUAUUUUGUCACGAGAUGAGUGUUAAGAACACUCUAUUUUUAAUACUCACUUUAUUGUUGAGUAAAAUUUAUAUAAGUUUUUACCACUUUACAUAUGACCAUUUUUUAAAGUGUGAGACUCAUAUUGAUUUCAUCGUGUAAAAAAGUAAAUGUUAAAUAGAAUGUAAAAAAAAAAAGAAUUUUCUAUCGUUUCUCAUAAUUUAUUUAGGCAUUAUAGACAUAGACAAAAAUCAAAAUCAAGCAUUAGCAAAAGACGAGGUAUAUUAAAAUAAGGAAUUUAAUUAACACAUUUAGAUUUAGUGUACAAUAUAUCAGAUAUACGUCGAUUAAUGAAUAUAAAAAUUUGAGUUGUUAUAUUUAUUAAUUAACAUGAUAAACAUGUUUCUUAAAAAAAAAAAAACAAUAAUAUAUCAUUUGAUACAUGUGUAAAAUAAUUAGAUAUCAGCGAAUUAUAUUAACCGAGCUUUAAAUAAAAUAAAAUAUGGUUUUGUACAAAAAUAUAAAAAAAUAUAAAACAUGGUGGACCCCUAAAAAAGUAUGGUGGACCCCUCAAAAUAAAAAUAUGGUGGACUCGAGGUGACUCAACCGAGUGUGAUAGACUCAUGAACUUAAAAUUAGGUCAAGUUGAGAUUGUUUUUUUUUUUUUUUGUUUGUUUAAUUUAAGGUUUAAGUUUUUUUGUUUGACUAAAAAGCUGAAUAGGGUUUGAGGAGAAGGUGAAGAAGAACCCAACACCUUAGAUCUGAGUAAUUCUUCCAAAGUUUUCAACUUUCAAUCAAAGCCUUCGAAGAUUAUGCUUUGAAUCUCUUCAAUUUCUCUCACAAUGCCUCCUCGUCCUUCUUUUCACAAGCUCAUUCUCCCUUCAUCCCUUCAAACUAGACAAUUGGUAACGUUUUUCUCUUUUUACUCAUUGCUUUUUUUUGAAUUGGGUUUUUGUUUCAUGUUUUUUAUUGGAUUUUAUUGAUGUUAUGAUUGUUGCAAAAAAAGGGUUUUUAGGGUUUUGAUUAAUUUUUUAGGGUUUGUGGCAGUCUAAUUGAUAAACCCUGAUAUCUCUUUUGAUAAAGUUUUUUAUUUUUUUUAGGUUUUGUUUUAAACCCAUGAUUUUGAUCACUAAGUUUGGAUUUUCUGUUAUGAUUAUUGAUAAAGGGUAGUGUUUUUUGUUUGAUCAGUCGUUGAAAAGUGUUCAAAUUUGUUUGAUUCAGUGUUAUUUAGGUUUUGUGAUUUUUCUGGAAAGUGUUGAAAUUUUGAUCACCUAUGUUACUGAGUUGAUUGUAGUCCUAAAAUUGAAUUGGGUUGGUUGGGUUGUUUAUGUCUUGUGGCAUUCUUUGAAUGAGAAAUUCUUGUGGCAUUAAAAUCAAAUUUGCUAUCAUAUCGAUUAUUUGAUAAAAUUUAUGGUCCUGGAUGUUUUCCUUAAAAUCAUUAAUAUAUGUGGUUCAGUAUAUUAGAAUUGGUCUCUUAUUUUCUUUUAUUGAGAACUAGAAAUGUCACUUGUUUUAAGUGAAAGAGAAGAACUAUAUGACACAGUGAACAGAUUUUUAUGCUUCAUGUUUCUCCAAAGCACGGAUACCCCUCGGAUUAGGUGUGUCUCGGUGUCCGACACGUCACAUACAAUUACACUGAAUUAUGUGAUUUUCUCAAAUUAUUAGCUGUGUCGGCGUGUCCGUAUCCGUGCUUCAUAAUUUAAUAAUGUUUCUAUGCAGUUUUACUUCUAUUUUCUUUUAUGUAUUUGCUAGCCACAAAAUAUGUGAACAAAAUCUACUUGAGACUAUCAUAUUGGAAAUUUAUCUAUGUAGAAAAUUCUUUAGUGUAGUUACAAAUUCUUGCACUUAUUAAGUAUGAACUUUGGAUUGUUAUUGCUGGUAGCAAUUUGGAAAUGUGUCAUUUUUUAAUGAAUCUCCAUUUUCAGCAUGGUAGUUAAUAUCACAUAUUGACUUAUUGAAAUCAUACAAUUUUAAGAUGUUUUGUGAUCUCUGCAAUUUAGAUCCCACGCCUAAUUGCAGAUGGUUUUUGCCUGCAAAAAUCGCAAAAAGUGUGUGGCCGUGUGUUAAUUUCAGGCCGAGUACAUGACCCGGUUAAAAACAACACACCUUUAAAUGAAAAACCUCUUCUAUUAAGUAUGAAAAGUUGGAUUGCUAUUGCUGGUAGCCAUUUGAAAAUGAGUAGUUUUUUAAUGAAUCUCCAUUUUUAGCAUGGUAGUUAAUAUCAUAUAUUGAAUCAUUCAAAUCAUACAAUUUUAUUAGCAUGGUAGUCAAUAUCAUAUAUUGAACCAUUGAAAUCAUACAAUUUUAAGAUGUUUUGCGAUCUCUGAGAUCUCACACGUGUGACCAAGAACUCUCAAACUUCCUUGGUCUUUGCUCGUUGGGAGUGCACCAUUGGGGCCCAUAAUAUUCUUGUUAUGAUUCAUUGUUUAUGAUUUCAUUUUGUCUUUUUGAUUCAUAUCAAAUCUUGAGUUUAAAAUCUUCAGUCUUUUAUUAUGAGCAUCACUAAUAUUUGGAUGAUCAAUAUUAUUUUCAACUGCAGAGGAUUCCAGAUAAUUUUCUUAGGAAAUAUGGGGCCCAGCUUUCGACUAUUGCAACCCUCACUGUUCCUGAUGGCACUGUCUGGCGUCUAGGAUUGAAAAAGGUUGACAACCGAAUUUGGUUUGUCGAUGGCUGGCAAGAUUUUGUUCAACGUUACGCCAUUGGCAUUGGAUACUUUCUAGUAUUCACUUAUGAAGGAAAUUCAAAUUUCAUUGUUCAUAUCUUUAAUAUGAGUACUGCUGAGUUAAACUAUCAAUCAGCCAUGAGAAGCCGUACUGAAGGGCCUUGCUAUGCAAAUUAUCAUCCUAUUUUUGAAGACAUUGAAGAUAUCGACUCCUUUGAAUUCCUGGAUUCAUCACCUUCAAACCUUACUCCUGGUGCAUUGCAAGACAAGGUUUUUAGUGGAUCUUUGGAUCAACUGACACCAGCGAAGAAUCAUACUCCAUCAUUGCAGAAUUUGUUUAAUGGGGGGUCUAAACUCAACCACGUUAACUGGGGAGAUAUCGGUGGUACUCUUUCUUCAAAGAGUGCCAUUCAGUCAACCAGAGAUAUAGGUGUUCAGUUCAAUGCUAAUGAGUUUAAAAAGUCCACUGAAGGAUUGAAAUUGCGCUAUCCUAACGAGGAAGGGGUUAAUAAUACUGAUACUAAGAAAACAUCAAGAAAGAAGCGGAAAUCAGAUCCAAGUAAGCUCUUUUAAAUAAUUUUUCUUUUUAUUGUACUACGUAGCACUGACAUUUUAGAUAAAAGGCGUGCCCAAGUGUUUGACACACAUCAAUGUCCAACUCCGCCGCUACACUGACUCGUGUGGUUACAUUCAAAUAUUUCACUCUUUGAAAUUAUGACUGAUGUUGACGUCUCCGUGUCUUGUCUUCCUGUGUCGGUGCUUCAUGGCUAUUAUCUGGUAAUAUAAAAAAUUAAUUUUGUCAUCAAUAUAAUUUGUGUAACUGUAGGUGCACAGGAAGCCACUGCUGAAAAUGACGAGGAGGCAGAGCGGUAUCGAUUCUAUGAAAGUGCGUCUGCAAGAAAAAGAACUGUGACAGCAGAAGAAAGAGAAAGGGCAAUUAAUGAGUCGAAGACAUUUGAACCAACUAAUCCAUUCUGUCGAGUUGUCCUGCGACCCUCCUAUUUAUAUAGGGGAUGUAUAAUGGUGAGAUAUUGAAUUCAAUUUUUUUGAUAUUUAUCUUUAGUCUUCUUAGACAUUUCGUGUUGCAUACUCAGCUUAUGUUUCUGUUUUCCAGUAUUUGCCUUCCUGCUUUGCAGAAAAGAAUUUGAACGGUGUUUCAGGAUUCAUUAAGCUUCAGAUCUCCGAUGGGAGACAGUGGCCUGUUCGCUGCCUUUAUAAAGGAGGCCGGGCAAAGUUAAGCCAAGGAUGGUAUGAGUUUACAUUAGAGAACAAUUUAGGGGAAGGCGAUAUCUGUGUUUUCGAGCUGCUUAGAACCAGAGAGGUAGUCCUGCAAGUUACUUUGUUUCGUGUAAAAGAGGACGACUCAGGGUUAUUCAACCCUUCUACACUGCCGAGCCAAAAUGUGAGCCAUGCAAAAAUGUUGAAUCCUCACUUGCAGCACCGUGUUAGCUCAACCAAAUCAGCUAAAAAUUAGCAGGGAGAGAUAACUCCAGAUAGACAAUUACAAAACUGUGUCGAUUAGCUCUUAUUUCUGAGUGAUCCUGGUACUCUGGUUUAUUCAGUUUGGAACUUUGAUACUUUUUAUGUCCAUAGGCGUUUGAACUUAGUUAUGGUAGUUUUGAAUCUUUUAAUAUGGAUAUUUUGUUUUGACUUGGAUUGUAUAUAGACUGUGCAAUCUAUUCAAUCAUAAACUGAGUCAAAACGCUUGUCCUAGUGCCGUAUCUUGGGAUUAACUUGUUUUUUGUUUUGGUUUUGGUUUUGAAGUUUGUAGCUUCAUCUGCAUGAAUAUAAUGACUCAGUUACGGUGUGUUUUUUAUGUGAUUGCUGAUGACGAGUUUUUAUACAUUUUCCUUUGAAAUAUAUCUAUUUAUGACGCUGUUUGUUUGAAAUUGUGAUAUAUAUGAUAUGGAUAUAAUACAUAGGGGUGUGCAAAGUUAAAACCAAACCAAAACCAAAACCAAAUAUUGGUUUUGGUUUUGUUCCUGAAACCACUUCACUAAAAACCGGUUUUUAAGUAUAACCAGUUUGGAUAUGGUUCAAAACCGGUUCAGAACCGGUUUGUCAGAAAAAUCAGUUUUUUGAACUAAACCAGUUUUUUUUAUUCAAAAUCCAGUUUUUUGAAAUAUAAGCACAUGAAUUAUGUAGCUAAUAGCCACAUUGUAAGAAUUAAAGCAAUUUUGUAAUCUGUGAAUAGAUAGUAAUAUGCCUUGUAUAAGUUGCAGCAAUUACCUAAAUUUUAUUGUUAUUAUAUUAUGUUAAGAUACCAUUAUGCAGAAUAGAAAAACAAGAUUUCCAAUUAAACUAACUAUCUCUGUUUGAACAUAAAAUUCCAAACUACACUGUUGAAAUAUAACUAGGAUAAAAACCGGUUUGGAUAACCACUUCACUAACCAAAUUCAUUCAAUCACACAACAAAAAGUGAAAUCAAUCAACCCUAAGAAGAAAAAGAAUCCCCACAUGUUAAUUUAACAUUUGAAGCAUUUAUUCAUAGGUGCAUUUCAUGAAUUGUGAUUCGAUUAAAAAUAAAAAGUAAAAUAGAAGGAAGAAUUGGAAAGGAACGAAAAUGGAAGAAUGGAAGCGAAACGAACCGGCAGCGGCGGAGAAAGAGGGGGCGGAAUUAGGGUUGCCAAUUUGGGGGAAUUAGGGUUGCCAAUUUGGGGGAAUUAGGGUUGCGAAUUUGGUGAUUAGGUUUAGAAUUUUCAGAUUUGGAAAUUGGAAAAGAGAAAGAAAAUGGAAAUCUGAAAUGGUUAAAAUCUGGAUCCGAAUUUUAGCCGGUUUGGAUAUCCAACCCGUUUAAAAUGGGUUGGUUGGUAACUCAUUUACAAAAAAUCCAGAUAUUUUAAAGUGGACUGGAUAUGGUUAUGGGUUUGGGCCUAAAACUGGUUGAUAUGCACACCCCUAAUAAUACAUGAUUGCUAUAAUCAUUGGUUUCAUAUAUCCUACUCCAGCCGUUCCUGAAUAUAAGCAAAUUUGACUUUUUAGGUGUAUUCAAUUAAUGAUGUUUGUGGUUCAUAUUAUGGAUCACAUACAUCAUUAAUUGAAUGAAUCUAAAAAGUUAAUUUGCUUAUAAGUAGUAAGGGGGGGAGUAUAUGUUAUACAAGGGGAGUAUAUGUUAUACAAUUCUUGAAAAAGGUCCAAUAUGUGAUAUCUUGUUGUCACAAAUAAGAAACUUUUCAUUUUGGGAUCCAAGUGCAGGAUGAUGGGGGGUUUUCACACUGAAAAAAUGUUAUUUUGGAAAUGGAACAUUCUCUUCUGACACAAAAGGUUGUUGCAAUUUACGUUUUCCGAAUAAAACUUAUUUUACAUUAUAAUGCAAAUAUAGGAAAUACAAGAAAAGUUUCGUGAACUGUAAUGUUUUGGCAUGAAAUGUUUUAUUAAAAAUAAGAAUGUUCUUCUGGAUUUCAAUGCACUUGUUUAUAUGAUUGAUGAUUUAUGCUGUAACAAAUAUGAUAAAGGGAUCCCUUUUAGAUAGUGGUUCUGUCUUUGAUAGAAUGUAAGCUUGUAACCUUCAGGAGGGUUGUCUUUGAUAUUACAAGCUGAGCAGUUUCUAUGGAAUUUGUGUGGAAGAGUUUCAGCUUCGAGCAGUUGUACUUUUUAUUCUAAUGUUCUACAUAUGAACCGUCCAAUAAUAUAGGGGUAAUAACAAAAAGAAUAAAUUGUUAUGAAUGUCAAACUCUUGUCCAUGUUGGUGGCUUGAUUAUUGUGGUUUAAUUUUAGUUAAACUUACUUAGUUAGGUUGUAGUUAGCCAAAAGAUACUUGCAAUUUAUAUUUAGGUUUAAAUAUGUCAUUGGUUACUGCACUUUCACCAAGUUUUUGGCUCUGGUCCUUCUGUUGAGUUAAGUUAAAAAAAAAAAAACGGUAUACCAUGUGGAUCAAUCAUUCCACGCCACGUGGGACACUAAAAGACAACUAUAUUCCAACUUUUUUAUUAUUAUUUCAUUUAUUAUUUUUUGACUUAAGGCCAUGCACUUUCAACAUUUUUUUUUAUAUUAGUCUCUGCACUUUGGUCUUAAUGAGUAUCAUCGACAAAAUCACUUUAAUGAAUACUCUCUUCAUCAACAACAUCGAUUCCGGUUAGAUCGUAUUCAUUCCUUAGACUGAUGAUAUCAUAGUGGAAUUGGGUGGCUUUAGCGAGAUUGACCUCUUUUAUUUAUGCACUCAUGAUAUCACGAAAUUUCUGUCUUUGAUAAAUUAUCUACGAUGUUCUUGUUUUGCGGGUGACUGAUUUUGCUUAUGUUUUCUAUAUUUCAUUGCCAACUUGUGAUUGAGGCUUGAAAGUCUAUGCUGAAAUGUUUCUUGUUUGAAAUAAUCUACCAUAAUUUGUAGUAUGAUGCUUCAAGCACUCUUUUGUCAGUUUCCCGUCAUUUCUAGCAACCAAUGUCGUUCAGAUUUUUAUUGAGAAGAAGAGGUCCAAGAUGGAAAAGAGAUAGAGGUUUGGUUGUACUCCCUCGGUCCUAAAUUAAGAAAAUUAAAAAUAAGAAUUUGGAGUAUAGUUUUUUGUGUUUUCUUUGAAAAAAGUUUUAUAGGAAGAUGUAAAAACAAUUUUCAUUGGCCAUUGGUUAUGGAAAAAAUCAAAGAGAGAGAAAAUUGAAUGUAAUUUGCAUUUAAUUUUAUGAGAAUAAACAAAAAAAAUCUUGGAAAAGAUAAAAGUUUGUCUUUUUUGCUUAUAUUUUGGGACAAAGAAAAUGUGUUUUUUUUGCUUAUAUUAUGGGACGGAGGGAGUAUGUGGUAAAGUAUAGAUGUUCUCCUAUUUAAUUUUAAUCAAUCUUAGCCGUUCAUUAAAUUUAAUGGUAUUUUGUUUGUGGUCCACCGGUGAGGGACUUAAUUGAUCCCUCACCCUAAAAUCCACCGUUUUAUGCGGUUUAGAUUAUAGAAUUCAAAGGUAAAUUUUUUUUUCUUCCAUAAAACCCUCCAAAACAGUGUAAACAUUUCAAAUUUUUGAAUUCCAACAUUGUGGGCGAGUAAUUCAGGUGGGAAAAAUAAGAAAAAUACUGUCCACCUUAACUCAAUGCUAGGAAACACUAGUAAUAUCAAUAUAACCUCAUCGGUAGUUAGCUGCCAAUAGAUUUUAACCGACAACGUCUUUUUCUGGUGUGUUUCAGCCUUAUUUGAAGUGAGAACUAACAAUUUUCGAAAAAUAAUUGUCUAUUUUGAAUUUGAAGUAGUUGGGCUUGGGCCGAGAAAGAAUACAAGAAACGGGUUUGGACAUAUCCUAUGCAACCCUAGCAGCUCUCUAUAAAUACAACCUUUGACAACUGUAGUGUUUCGUUGUUGUCUUUCAUUUGUUUUAGUUUUGUUGAUAGCUUUUGAACCCAUUGAAUGUUUUCGGCCGUGGAAUUCUCGGUUGAGAGAAUUUGUUUGAGAUAGAUCUACGUCUCUUCUUUGUUCUUCUCUACUGUGUUUUCUUCGCCGAAAAAAUUCACUGGUUUAUAAUUUUUUUUUGCAGUGGCUAUGAUGAUUACUGUGUAUCCCGGCUCAUUAUGAGACUUUUUUGUAAGGUCCGGGAAUUGAAUUUUUCCACACAUAAAUCUGAGCUUUUCUUCACUUUUGAUUUGUUUUAAACUUUGACACAAAUAUUAAAAAUAUAGAACCAAUUCUGGAUUUCGAAUGAAACUGAUUUUGUUGAUAGGGAUUGAGAUUUUUUUUUCUUCCAGAUCUGGAUUAUGAUAAAAAUCUGGUUUUUUUAAUCAAAAGUUUGUAUUUUUUUUAGGGAUCAAAUAAGGUUUAAUCUUGCACAGAAAUGUCGGUAUAAUAAUGGACUAACGAACUCUAGAAAAAGAAUGUGUAAAAUAGAUUGAACUUGUAUUAGAUAUUUAAAUGAUGAGUAUGUUUUCUAAAAUAUUUAGAGAUUUCUUUUUGAUGAAUAUUUUUUUUUUGACAAGGUUUUUUGAUGAAUUGUUUAGUUUCUUAUGGAAUAUGCCAAUUUAUAGUUUGUACAAAUAACAAAUCGGUGAAGUAAAUGGAUUACGAUGAAAAUUUAGUUGUUAGAAUUUGUAGCUUUUACUCUAUUUUGAAAGAUUAUGAUGUUAUGCAGCAUCAAAGAUAUAAUAAUCUAAAACGAACUGAAAGCUAUAAUAAUCUAAAAUUAUGUUAACAUUUUUCAAUCAAUCAUCCAUAGCUAUCAAUUAUUGCCAUAUUUCUUUUCGACAAUCACACCCAUUCAUCUCUUUAAUAUAUAGAUUUUAUCACACUCAUUCAUCUAAAACGAACUAGAUUUUUUUUUUUUUUUUUUUUUUAUCAAAUAUAUAGAUUUUAUAUUAUGUUAUCUUAAAGUUAUAAGUGUGGCUAUAAUUUAAAUUUGAUAUGGAAAAAAAAAAUAUCUUAAUUUUGUUAAUUUUGUAUAUAUUUUGAAAUAUCUAAACAUUCCACGUAACGAUUGGAUUUAUACUUAUACUAAUUAUUUGUAGUAUAAGAUGUAUUCAUUUUUAAACUUAGCAUAUGUAAUACUUUUUAAUAAAGUGUGGGCUACAGAAACGCCGAUCGUUAUUUGUUUUUAUUUUUAAAAAAGUCUAAUAUAAAUAUUGUAUUUUAGGGUAACAACGAUGUAAAAAAACAAGUUAUGAGUAUCGUUAUACCUAUAAUUCGCCUUACAAAGAAAUUAAAAAAAAAAGACUUCUAAACAACACACAACUUUAGUUUUUUAAAUUAUAGCAACAAUUUUAAAACAUAACUAAUGAUCGAUGUUUCUCAUCAGCAUAACUGGACAUCCCACUCUUAGCUCCUUCUGUUGAAUUUUCUUGGGAUUGUGAGCUUCAAAGGCAACCGAGGAUCCAACACCAUCAGGGUUAUCUUUUGGUUUCCAUUCAUUUCGCUGUUUUUGGGAGAUCACUGGUUUCUCUCCAUUAUCAACUCUUUCUGCUUGCUUGUCCUCUUUCCUCGGAUGUAACCAACAACAAGAACUAACAUUGUGGCCAAUACUCUUGCAGUGUGUGCAAAAAUCAAGAAGGCGUUCAUUUCAAUAGCAAUUGGAAACGCAAACCCCUCUUUUUCCACCAUAACUUCAUAAAAAAUAUCUUUUGAAAGGUCCAAUCAACUAGUAUUCUAGCAUAGUGACCAAACAAACGCUUCUUGGUAACCUGAUCAAUGAGCAAUGGAGUACCAACCGCCUAUGCUAUCUCCAAUAAAGUCCUCUCCAUCCAAUAUUCUUGUGGCAAUUCCCAUAAACGGAUCCAAACCUGAGCAUGUGUCUGACGCUGCGUGUGCAUAUUAAAGUCCUUCGACCAUUCAAAUAAACGAAGAACCCCUAGCUUCAAACUGACAGUUCCCGCAGCCCAAAAUUUACACACAUCUUCGUAUGAUGCAAAGGUAAAUUCAUAAAAUCCCCUACCUAAUGAGCGUAGACUCCAAGGACCAGGACGCUUCCAUAUUGUCUGUAGCUUUUCAAAGACAGCCUUGGAAGAGUAUGAAGUAUCCCCUUUGUUGAGCAUCAGUCUGCCCCGAAGGUUGGUCCGACAAGCUUCUAAACCACAGACAUAAGCUUCUUUCGAAAUUUUGACUGACAACAUGUCCCCGCGAAUAACAGGCAAUGGAAGGGGUUCUGAGUAGAUAAUUGUAGAACCGCGUAAUGCCUGAGCAAAAGAAGGUUUUGGAGCGGUAGCUUGUGUUGGUGUUGUAAGCGCAACCAUGUCGAGAGCCAAUGUGAAAAUAGGUCUGACCGUCGACGAGACAAGAACCGGAGCAGGCGUCCCCAAUUCUGCUUGCCAAUCGAACAUGGCGAUCGGCAGAACUGAGACAAAAGAAAGCAGAACGUAACAUAAUUUGUGAUAAACGUGUAACCUUAGUUGAUUGAAAUAGCCACUUACGUGAGACACCAAUUGGAACAACACCACCGUUUUGGAAAACCACCAAAUAAAUUUGGCGAUAAUGAAAAACAAACGUGAUGAAAUUGGUUUUUGAAAUUAAGAGAGCAAAUUCUUAAAUCAUGAGAUGAUGGGAUACGUGAGUGGAGGAAUCAAUUGGAAAGCAAUUUGUUAAUAUUUGAGAACUAGUAAUUGAAGGAAAAAUAAGAAAAGCAAACCGAUUGGUUAAUUCUAAUUAUCAAUGUAAAUAAUUAGAACAUAUUUUUAUACAAAGUUAAUUCUUUUGGUUUCUUAAUCAAGGCUUUUAGAACAUUCAUUAGUAUCAUAUAUUCAUGAAUAGAAGGUAAGCGCGCAAUAAGAUGCACCACUUACCGAAUUUAAUUACUUUCACUCUCUCUAAUUUUUUUAUUUAUAAAAUAUCCUUUAAUCAAUAUAUUUUUGUUUUAUGAUAACUUUUAUUUAUGUCACUCUUUUUUACCAUGUUAUUCUUGAUGCUAACUUAGUUGGUUCUAGCACUUCUUUGGUUGGAAUUUGGAAAUUAUACCAAAGCGUAUUUUUAUUUCAAUAUGCAAGAAGAAUAUUUGAUUUUAAUAAGCUUUCUUUGUCUAGUCUCAUGCUCCAUGAACUAAGGUAAUGUUGUGACAACCCCCCAUCCUUAGCUAGAUCAAAUGUAGUACUGAUGGUUCUCCUAAGGGUUGUGCAAGCCCUGCAAUUUGUGGUGGGAUUUUUAGGGAUAAAGAUGUUAACUAUUUAGAUAGUUUUGUGAUCAAUUUGCAUAUCACUACUGCCUCUCAAGUUGUGCCCCGUGGGAAGAUGAAUGCUACUGAGAUAACUUAUUAGAUGAAUGCUCUGGAUAGAGACUGACUCUCAAACUUGUUAUUAUGGCUUCCCAAAAUUCAAGUAUUGUUCCUAAUGUAUGAAGUUAACAAAAAAGCAUACAUUUUAUUUACAUUUCUCAUAUCUUCCGUGAGAGCAACAAGUGUGUUGACAAGAUUGCUUCUAUUGGUCUUUGGUAAAACAAUCUUACUUGGAUAGAUUCUAUUCUCUUGUCUAUUUUAGAUUUCUUUUUAUUUUAAUAAUAUUUCUUGAAUGUUUCAGUUAAUAGAUGACAAUCAAGAAAUAACGAUAUAGUUCAAAUAUCUUGACUUAUUGCUUUUGCUCACUCUUUAAUGUUACAUUUUUACAUCCACAUAAAACUUAUUUUCUUUUUUAUAAAAAUAAAAGUAAAAAUAGAUGCUAAAAAAGGCAAGUAACAAAAGGUUCAUAAAAUGAGUGUACUUAGUUGCCACUUGGCAAUGAAGAUGAUUACGUUCCAAUCCAACAUAGCUUUGAUGGCCAGCAUCCAAGUAGAGUUGUAAGCCACGUAUCAUCAAACAAUCUAUCACAUUCUCUUCUUAUAUCAACCAACCAUACUCAUCUCACCUUAUCCUUUUCUCCCUUUUAAUCCAAAUAUACAAAACUCCCUUCCCAUAACAUAAACUCUACACACAUUUCAACAAACCAAGGUUCAUUCAUAUUUCAUAUCAUAUUGUUUUUCAUUUCCUUAUAGCAUAUAUCAAUUCAUUUUUCUAAACUUUUUUCAUAUUUCACAGAUAAUAAUAACAAUGGCUACAGCCUCAGCAACAACUCCAUCUACAAUCACUGUUGUAGGAAGCUCAGUUAUUGGAACCAAAUCAAGGAGUACUAAGAAGGGUAACAAUGUCAAGUUUAUCACAGGACUGAAUUCAUACAAUGGAUUGAAAGCACAGAACAGCACUGUGACAUCACUAGGAGUUCCUAUGUGCACUGAACAAGCUUUUGCAAAAGUGAUGAGUUCAUUGAAAUAUCCAUCAAAUGGAGGAAGAAGAGGAGGUGCAGGUUCUUCAACAUGUAAUGCUGCAGGUGAGAUUUUUCAGAUUGCAGCUAUUAUGAAUGGACUUACUCUUGUUGGUGUUGCUGUUGGAUUUGUUCUUCUUCGAAUUGAAGCUGCUGUUGAAGAAGCUGAGUAAGAAUUUUUCAUAUAUAUUUGUAAUAAUGUAAUGUAAGUUUAUAUCAGGAAGAAAAAUACAAUUUGUAUGUUAUGUUUGAUUCUUGAUGUGAUGAUGUAGAACUCAAUUGUUCUUGGAGGUAUUUGAAAUAGUAGUACCACUUGAAUUUUUAUUUUGAGACAGAAUUGUACACAUUAAUGCUGUCUGGUUUUUUACUUCAAAAUUGGUUGGGAAUUUGAAUAUCUAUGUCUAAUAAUAUACUAACUGGUUUGAAAAAAAAAAUGUAUUUAAUAUGUUUUUGGAAAGUUUGAAGAAUAGUAUAUUCACAUGUAGCCUCAAUAAGAAAUUUGUUUGAAUUGAUAUUGUAAUUAGAGAGUUUCUUUUCCCACCUGGUUCGGAUUAUAUUAUCCGAAAUGUUCUAGGGCGCAUGACAAGAAAAAAAAAAUCUCUUGUUGUAAUUAUUAUGAAGCUGCUGAGUUUUAUAUUUGUAUCUAUGUUGAAAAUUACAAAUAGUACUGAAAAUUGAAAGGUGAUUUGUAUUAAGUGUAUCAUUCAAUGAUUGUUUAGGGAACAAUAGUUAAAUGAAAAGAUGUACUAGUUCAUGAAAAAACACCUUCAAUCAUGUAAGAACACAUCAUAUUAAUUUGAAUCUCAAAUUCAUGAAGACACCUUUUGAAGUGUUUUCUUUGAUUUCAUUUAUUUUGUAAAUUUCUCAAAAUGGAACAUACAUAUGACCAGUAGUGAUUGAUAACACUUGAUUUUGAGUUCAGUAUUUCCUCUAAUUGAAAUAGACCAGUUUUAAGGGUAUUUCUAAAUUAAACAAGAUCUGGAGCUAGCAUGCUUCUUACAUUAGGGUGUACAUGUGCAUGAGGCUCAGGGAUUCUGGUGAGGGUAGGUGCACAGAGCCUUAGUUUCCAAGCAGAGAGCCCGUUUACAAGAUUUGAACAUGCGACCUACGAAGCACAUACAUGGACACGGACCCGGAUACAUAUUCGACAUCGGAAAACUCCUAAUCCGAGGAGUAUUUGUGCUUCAUAGUCUAGCACGCUUCUUACAUUAUUGUAAAAAGUUAUAGACAGGGCGUAUAGCCAAAACUGUGGUUGAAUGUGAAUUGGUCUGCUGAUAACCUUCAUUGAUCAUAGUGGAGUCUGCAAUUUUAUUGUGAUAUGUAAAGUCUCUCAUAUACAGUAAACUAAUAUGUGAAUGGUACAAUUUAUAGAUGUUUUGAUGCAGACAAAUCUUGAAAUAUUGAAGUUACACAAAAUAUCCAACUAAAUUACAUAUUCAUCAACAUACCUUUACUCGAAAAAUGGUGUCACAGGUAAUUAUAUACGCUUUUAGCCUACAUUACCACGCGGGGAUUCUUUUAGGACAAAUGCAGGAAUCCAUAGUACUAACCUCAUGUUUAUUGAUCUGAGGUGGAUCUUGAGAGGUGGCCGGAAGUGAGGAGAGUAGAAACUUGAAGUCUCUGAUUGGGGCGGCAUACGUGUAUUCGUACACACUCCAACACUCUGAGUCAACAAGAAUUUGAGGUGAGUGAGAGAUAUGAUGAAUAGUGGGCACCUUGCUUCCGGUGGAAGGAAAGUCCUAAUACAAUUGAACUGCCCAGGUAAAAUGGUGGGAAAGUCUGUUGAGAAAGUUAUAAGUCGGAAUGUAUAUCGCCGUGAUAUGCGAAUCAAUGUUUAGUUGAGAUCAUGCAGUCGUUGAUCUUCAGUGACGUUUUGCUCAUGGAGUUGGGUCUGUAGUGCAGAAAUCUAGUUCGGAUGGGUCAUGGGCUAGUCCGAAACAUUUAUAAUCCAACAUCAAUGAAAGGAAACUAAAAUAGAAAAAAUAGGGUUGCAGUGAAACUGUUUUGGUAAGGGACACUAAUAUCAGUGAAACAUUUGUAAUCGUAGCUGCUUCCAAAUUCCAAUGAAGCUAACAUUACAGCAAAUCAGUGUACAAUUUCAUUAUGAUGCCUUCUAAGAGACACUAAUAUCCUUCAAAGAAAUUCUAGAAUUUGCAUGAAAAUUACAAGGAUGGAAAAGGAUAUUGAAGAAAUUAGCUCAAUCAUUCUAAAGGAUGAUUGUUAUCAAAUUCAUUUAUAUUCCAAUCAUACAUUGAUUGUUUCCAUUCAUACAGUUUAAAUAAAAUUCCUUAAGGCUCAAAGAGAGCUUAGAGAGGUACUUACAGAAGUCCUGACAUCGGUAACAAGAGUUGAAUCCACAAUCUUGUAGAUGAAUCAACUCCUUAUCAACUAAGUCAACCUUCAUUGACUUUUUCUUUUACAACAAUCAACAACACAUAUCGUUAAACACAUAUAUAAUCAAAUUUAAUGUCUGACAAAGCUCGCACCUCGGAGACCUGGAUGGAACCUAUGUGAAUCAAAAGCAACGAAAUCAUACAAAAAAUGAGCAAUUCAAUUUUUGGGCUCCAAAAGCUAUUGGCUACAUAGUGACAAAUAAGAGAAGGGUGGCAACAUAGUGACAAAUUAGUUAAUGGCUGCAUAGUGUAUUAUAUGGACCAGUAUUAUAAUUAAGACCAUUGCGUUGUCCUGUAUCAUGACCAUGUAACUUAACACUGAGAUGUGGUUCUCUCAAAAUGUAACCAAUAGAAAAAUCAAUAAAUAAAUAAGCAGCCAAUAAAUUAUUGGAACGAAUAUCCUAUUGGUGUAUUCCUUCCAUGAAUCCAAGAGGAUCCAAAACAUCCACAUCCCAAAUGAAUAUUCUCAUUAUUCCUAGUCUCUAUAUAAACCACAAUAUAGCUCUAUUACAACCAUCAUUCAAAACAAAGAGAAAGCUCAACAAAAAGAAGAAAAAAAGUGGAACUAAUAUUUUUUUUUGCUCAAUUUUUAAGAGUGACUAAAAUACUUGAUUUUGAGAAAAAUGUCAGCCAUGGUAGAAGUAUGGAUUGGGGAAUUAGCCAAGCUCAAAGAAAAAGUUAUGACCAAAAAGAUAAAAGAUGGUUUAGAAGAAGAGAAAGAAGUCGGAAUGCAAUCUCAAAAGGAGAUCAUAGCUGUUCAUAGAGACACUGCAACUAUUUCAGAGUCAACAAUAUGUUUGCUUAUGGAUAGAUUUGUGCCCUGCUAAUAUAUGCUUAAUUAUUAGGUGCUCAAAUAUCUUGUUAAUUCAAUGAUUUGGUUCCUAGACAAGAAAAUUUGUAAUAAAAUGUUCUAUAUUAUUGUUAAUAAAAUGUUUUUUACUUUAGUGUUAAUAUUAUUGUAGUUGUUGUUAGUCAUUUAUAAUGUAAUUUGUUGUUUAAUUGCUAGAAAAAUAAAAAAAUUGGAUGGUUUGAUUACAAUUAUUAAAGCAAUAAACUAUUUAGUUGAAAUAAUUUGCGUAUAUUUUUUUCAAAUUUUUUGGGUUAUUAUUAUUUGCAAGUUCGCUUUAUGAACUUCUUUGACAUGGUUUUGCAGGAAAUUAAAUACCCUUUCUAGUUUCUUCCUUGAACCCAAAAAAGAAGAUAUUGUAAUUUGUGAAGUAAUUUCACUCUCAUUGUUAAGUAGUGUAAGACAAAGCUUUUAUUUAAACUAAGAAAAUGAGCCCCAAAAUUUAUGUGUUCCACAAUAGAAUAAUUUUUUAUUUUAUUUAUAUAAGUACAACUCAAUUGAUAGUUAAAUAGAAACUUAAUAUGUUAAAUUGUGGAUUUAAAUGUGUGAUUCUCCACGGUUAAAUAAGAAUUGUCUCCUGAUGUUUAUCCUCUUUCUUUGCUUAUAUAAAAAAAAAUGUUUUGAAUUUGUGUUGGAAAAAAAUCCUGCAUUAGAUAAAGGAUAAGCAAAAAACUUUAGUUUUGUUUGAAAACAAAAAAACAUCGGUGUCCUGGUAAGCUUAGUUCAGUUGCGUAAACUAUUCAAAUCGAACCCAGGCCAACCAAAAAAAAAAAAAAACAUCGCCAACUUUUGCUGUUGUUGCUGGUUGAUUCCUGUUAAUAUAGCUUCUACCUCUUCUUUUCUUCGAAAGAAUAGCUUCUACCUUUAAUUAAUUGUUUAACGCAGAUUCCCUUCUAACAGUUCUUUUUUUUUUUUUUGAAGUUCUACCAAUGGCUUAAGAAAAUUAACAUUGUUUGUGAACAAUUGCGACCAAAAAAUAAUCCAAGAUCGACAAUUUAAAAAAAAAAUUACAUAAUCAAAUUAACAAUGUUUUAGAAAGAUGAAAGUGAGUGUAAAUUAGUGAGGUGUGUGUAAACAAUUUGAUAAAAUUUAUAAAAAUGAGUGCAAAUAAUCAAAUGGGUGUAAGUUGGUAACUUGCACCUUAAUGAUUUUAGGUGGGUGUAACUUGCUAAUUUACACCUUAGUGUUUUUAGGUGGGUGUAAAUUAGCAGCCCUCUAUAAAUAAAGACCUUGUGUGUUAGUAUUUCUUGUACCAAUAGUUAGUAGGAUUUGCUAGAGCUGGUAUUACCUCUACUAUUCAAUAUCUUGUUAUAGCCGGUAUUACCUCUACUAUUCAAUAUUUAUUUUUUUUGAGCAAAGGAAAGUUAAUGCAUUUCAUUCAUAAUCAAAGAAUACAAAGUAAGCGGUACAUUAUAGAAAAUAUGGGGGCUAGAUUGGGAAUAGGAUGCUCUAGCUAUGUUGUGAGCGACCCUAUUUGCUUGCCUCCGAACAUACGACAAUACAAAGUCGGAAUUACUAAACAAUAAAUCUCUACACUGUGAUACAAUGUUGCCAAACUCGUUAAGGUAAACAAAAGAAGAGUUGAUGGCAUCAACGAGAAUCUUAUUGUCCGUUUCAAACAUGACAUCAUGGUAGCCAGCUGAAAUUGACGUGUGUAAUGCGUCAAGCAUAGCAACAGCUUCAGCUUCUAGGACAGAACCAAAUGAUUGCAGAAGAGCUGAUUUCCCCAUUAACAAUUGGCCCCUAAAGUUUCGAAAGCACAUUCCAAAACCUGUUACAGUGUUAUGGCUGAAAGUUGCGGCAUCGAUGUUACACUUUAGGACACCUUCUGGAGGCUUCUUCCAAGAGAUUAUGUGGUCCUGAUUUUGAGGUUGAGGUCUAGCUCGUUGCAUACAUCUCCAUUCGUGAAGUGUAUCCUUCGCUCUAGAAACAGUUGAAGCAGUAGUAGUGUCUAAAGAAUCCCACAACUUUAUGUUACGACUCUUCCACAAACUCCAAAGUAACAUUGCGGCUGCAUGUUGUUGAUAUGAGGGUAACCUGUCAAGAAAAUCAAACAACAUAGUAGUAAAAUCAUUAGCCCGGUGCAGCAGCUCGCGAAUAUGGUUUCCCAAAUUAAUACGAUCCCAACAGUCCAUAGCUUUAGUGCACACAAAGAAUAGAUGCAUGUGUGAUUCUGCCAAUGAUUCACACAUCACACACGUAUCAUCGCAUGAUAUACCCCUGGUGGUGAGAUUAACACGGGUAGGAAGGCAUUGAUGAGCAAGACGCCAAAGGAAGGAACAAACACGUGGUGGAAUUUUCAUGUUCCAGAGAGUCAUGGGGGAUUAGAUGGCGCAUGAGUGGAUGAAUGUAGAAGAUCAGCGCAAAUGCGAUAAGCGGACUUUACGGUGUAUUUUCCAUCUGUUGAUACCUUCCAUAAUCUAGUGUCCUCCAUCGGUCUAGUGUAAAGGGGAAUGGAUGUCACAGCUGCAGCCACUUGGGGGUCAAAAAUUGAAUGCACCAGAUUAUAAUUCCAUGACAGCAGAUCCAGAUUCAUGAGCUGAUUGACUGUGAGCUCUUCAAGGUUAGGAGGCGGCGGUGUUGAAGGUUUGUGCGAGGGGAGAUUGCGAAUCCAAGGCAUUGACCACACAUUUAUUUUUGAGCCAUUACCAAUCUUCCAUCUAUAGCCCAACGUAAGUAAUGAUUGGGUACUCCAAAGACUCCUCCAUGUAUAGCUUGGAUUAUGACCAAGAGGUGCUUCCAAGAAAUCCCGUCGAGGGAAAUAUUUGGCUUUGAGGACACGAGUAAGUAAGGAAUUUGAGUCUGUCAUGAGUUUCCAACUUUGCUUACCGAGCAUAGAAAGAUUGAAUGCUUCCAAAUUGCGAAAACCAAGGCCACCAAGACUUUUGUGCAAAGUGAGUUUCUCCCAUCUCAUCCAAUUUAUACCCCGACGGCCAUUCUUUUUCGAACCCCAGUAAAAAGAGUUCAUCAUCCUUUCUAAUUCCUCACACAAAGAACCAGGAAUAAGAAAGGCCCCCAUACAAUAAGAUGGAAUAGCCUGAGCGACUGAUUUAAUUAAAAUUUCCUUACCAGCUCGAGAUAGAGAACGAGCAUUCCAGGAUUGACACUUCUUCCAUAUGCGGUCCUUCAAGUAAGAGAAAAUUGCCUUUUUGUUCCUUCCCACCAUAGAGGGGAGUCCUAAGUACUUGCCGCUUCCAAUAGAACCAUAGACUCCAAGAAUAUUAGUAAUGGUGGAGAUUAGAUCAUGUUGAGUGUUGGUACUAAAAGCAAUAGCAGAUUUGUUGUAGUUUAUUGCUUGGCCUGAAGCGUGUUCAUAAUGAAGGAGGAUUUCCUUGAGUGCUUGAGUCUCUGAUGUGGUGGCCUGGCAGAAUAAGAAGCUGUCAUCAGCGAAGAGAAGGUGACUGAUAGGUGGUGCUGAUCGACAAAUGCGUGUGCCAUGUAAUUUCCCUCUAAGCUCGUGAUUCUUUAUAGUGGCAGAGAGGCCUUCAGCACAUAAGAUGUAAAGAUAAGGCGAGAGGGGGCAGCCUUGUCUAAGGCCUCUUCCUGGUGUGAUGGGUCCAAUACGAUCCCCAUUAAAUAUAACAUGAUAUUCAACAGAUGUGAUACACAUCAUCAUCCAAGUUACCCAUUGAGAACAAAAACCCAACUUUUCAAGAAUAACUUGAAGAUAAGACCAGCUGACACUGUCAAAUGCUUUGGAUAUAUCAAGUUUCAAAGCAACCUCACCUUUUUUUCCUUUUGAUUUACAACGCAUAUGGUGCAAGAUCUCGAAAGCAGUCAAUGCGUUAUCCGUGAUGGAACGAGAGUGAAUAAAAGCCGCCUGUUCUAAAGAUAUCUAUUUACUAAUCAACGGACGAAGACGGUUGGCAAGGACCUUCGAGAUAAUUUUGUAUAAGAUAUUACACAGUGAUAUAGGACGAAGAUCCUUUAUAGUUUCAGGGCAGUCUCCUUUCAGAAUUAAAACAAUAUUUGUUUCAUUAAGACCGGGAGGUAUGUGACCAGAACUGAGCCAAUUUGAUGCUGCCAGAAAUAGUUCGCCACCAAUAUCUUCCCAGAAUCGAUGGUAAAAUGCUGGAUUUAGACCAUCCGGACCCGGAGAUUUAUCCGGGUGCAUACUAAAAAUCACCUCUUUAAAUUCUUGCUCCGAAAAAGGUUGGAUGAGAAGUGCAUUAUCAUCAUCUGAUACUUUAUCUUGGACGCAUGAUGUGAUAGGGAGAGGAUCACUGUGACGCGCCAUGAAUAUAUCUGUGAAGUAAUCAUGGAUGAGAGAACAAAGAUCAUCGUGGGAGGUGAUCCAGUUACCUGAACUGUCACGUAAUUUUUUAAUAUUGUUACUUCUUUUCCUGGCUGAAGCUGAUGCGUGGAAGAAUUUGCUAUUUGUGUCGCCAUCGGACAGCCAAAAAACCUUUGACCGCUGCUUCCAGUAACUUUCUUCUUGGAGUAAAAGAGUAGCCAUGUUAUUUUGCAUAGAGAUCAAGUGAGGGUCACUUGCAUCAGCAUGAGAAUUGCGAAAAUCUUCAAUGGCUGACCUUUGCUUGUUGAUGAGAUGUCGAAAAUUAGGAACCAAAUUUUUACUCCAAGAUGCAAUAUCUUCCGAAAAAUGCCUGAGCUUAGCUAUAAUGUUCGAUGGAGGAUAGUGCUCCCAAUUAUCCUUUACAAUUUGAUCAAGUUCAGGCUCAAGUAACCAAGCGUUGUUAAAGCGGAAACAACGGUAAGGUUUGCGCCAUGGUAAUGGAUCAAGUUGAAGCAAAAGAGGCGUGUGGUCUGAAAUUGGAGCAACCAAUGUUUGCAGCGUUGCAUUCGGAUAAAGUGUCUGCCAGGAGGACGUGACAAGGGCUCUAUCAAGACGGGCUUCUUUCGAGGAUUCGGUUCCAAUACUUUUGAACCAAGUGAAUUGGUAACCAAUCAAAGGUAUAUCAAGUAAAUUACAGUCAUUCACAACAUCUUGGAAGCCACGUAUAAGCCAUGGAGGACGUUCAGGGCCUCCUCUUUUAUCUGAGGUCGAGAGGUGAUCAUUGAAGUCCCCAAUUAUGCACCAGGGAUCGUCUGAGAGGGUGCUUAAGGAGCGAAGCAAAUCCCAGGAUUCUCUGCGUCUGCCUGAGUCAGAAUAACCGUAGAAAGCUGUUAGCCUCCAAUUACCGACUGAUUGAUCUUUGAUUUUUAGAUUAAUGAAGUUUUGGGAGAAAUUAAUUAAAGAACAAUCAACAGAAAUGCGCCAGAGCACAGCAAUACCGCCGCUUCUGCCAGUUCUAUCAACUGUAAAGUGGUUUUCGAAGCCAAUAGAAUAGCACAAAUCAGAAAUUUUAUUAUCGUUGACCAAGGUUUCAAUAAGGAUAACAAUGUCCGGUUUAUAGACUCGGACUAAGUCUUUCAUAACAGGAACUGCCUUAACAUUUCCCAGGCCUCGACAGUUCCAAGAUAAAACAUUCAUUGUGCCCGGCAGGCCUGGGAGCCAGGCUCUGCCACUAAAAAAUGAGUCACUGAUUGUGAGACCUCCAUGGGUGAUGCACUGUUGUCUGGGACCUUGUUGAGACUGUGUGAGUUUUCUUCUGCAACUUCAUUAAUUGCAUUUGCUGAUGAGGAAGCAUUCUGAGAAAUUGCGACAGUAAUGUCAUGAUUUAUGACAGCGUUAUCAGUUGAUUCCCUUGACCGUUUUGCUUUAUUAUUGAUAAUAACGGACUCAUGAUUUUCCUCCUGCAGAAUCUCAUCAUUCUGGUUCGGUUUUGGUGCAUUAACACUGAGACGCGGCUGCAUUAAAUGAGGAUUGCGUAACAACUGCAGCAAUGAUUCAGGAUUGGCAGUUUUGGAUACAGUAUUGAUAGCAUUAACUCCUGUGUCUGUAACUGAAACUGUUGAUGAGGCACUGGUUGCUCCGCCCAUGACAGAGUUCCGGCGAGCACCACCACUAGUGUUCUUUUGACGAUCCGCUCGCAAUUCAGAGCUCCAUAAGCGUAUGCCGUCAUCAGCUUCAACGGAAUAAAGUUUUUCGCAAUAAUCUUCGAUAUGGCCUAAACAACCACAGUAGUAGCAGAAAUUACCAAGACGCUCGUAUUUGAAUUUGAUGAAACUGGAAUCACCUCCCUGCCGUUUGAUUUUUUUCUGGCGCUUCAGAGGCUUUGUGAUGUCGAUCAGAACUCUAAUUCUCAUAUAUGAUCUGAGAAAGUUAGAGUUGUUCUUGGCAUCGUAUUCUAGAAAUUCACCUAUGUAGUUAGCGAUUUCCUUUCCGGCAUUUUCUGUCAUUAGCCCUGUUGGGAUGUCGUGGACUUGUAUCCAAAAUGGAACAAAGUGGAGGGGGACUUGAUUUGGGCUGCCAUUCUCUGGGAUGAUGUUGAGGACUAGAAGGUGGUUGUCAAAAUACCAAGGGCCUUUUUUCAGUAUUCGUUGAAAGUCUAGGUGAUGAUUGAAUUGGAAGGUGUAUAGGCAUGGCUCAAUUUCCAGGAUUUUCAUGCCUUUAACAGGACUCCAGAAUGUUUCAAUCUUUUCCAUCAUCAUGUAGGAGCGGAUUGGCCUGUUCGUGUGGAAACGGCCAACAAGACAGAGGCGGGGAUCGUUGGUUUGUGUUGGGAUUUCUUCAAAUUGAAUGUCAAGUUCAUCCUCCUCAUCACUAAGGGAGAGGUGUUGUAAUGUGGUCAUUGUGAUUGGUGGUUGGUGAGUGGCAGGAGCAGAAAGGUUGCAAGGUGUGCUCCCCGAUUUUCGGAUAUCAAACCAUUGAUUGAUUUGAAUCGUCAAUCUUUGAACUCUCAAUUUUUAUUCGUGGGAAGGGAAAAAAUGAGUAAAAACCCUUAUCGAGACUUUGGAUUCGGGGGUUGGUUUCGAAUAGGGAAGGUGUUAAGCACCCUAAACGACUUCGGUACUCCGAAGGAACCGCUUACCUAGAUUAUCUUGUGCUAAAUUCAUUUGCUUACUUGAAAAAUUAUUACCUAAAAAUCUAUGUAAAAGAAUGGAGGGAGAAUAAGUAUGUUUUGGUUAUUUUUAUUUGAUUUGGAAGGACAAGUCCUCUACCUACGUACCCUUUUUUUGGGAAAGGGAUCAAAACCGACGUAGUUCCACUCAAGAAUUUCUUUGGUGGGUUAGAUUGAUUUUAAGAUUUUUUUUGAAAAUGGGUUUUAAGAAGAGAAAGAGGCCUCAAGGUAUGAGAUAAAGAAAACAAGUGAGGUUGAUUGAUUUUAAAAUUUAAAAAAAUGGUUGAAGUUGAAUUAAGAUUGAUUGAAAAUUUGAUUAAGAAAAUAAAGAGAAAAUGUUGCUAAGAAAAGUGAUUUUUUUGAAUUUGACAUAUUUAGUUUUUUUUUUGAUAAAAAGGUUUUUUUUUCUAAACUAACGGUGAGAACUAACGUAACGUCGUAAAAACUAACGGAAAGCGGUAAAUAAAAUGUGGUAGUGUCGGUGCAUGUGUCGGUGCUUGUGUUACCUACAUUAUUACAUCAAUUCCUAAAUACAACCCUAAGGCCUUUAUGCCAAAAUAAAGUGCAAGAAAUAAAAUUACAUCAAUUCCCUAUUUAUACACACUAAGUCAAUGACAAAAUAAAAUGAUGAGAAAAUUAAAUGUGCAUGCUUCCCUCUGUUCGAUGCGUCUCAGCUUCGUUUGCUUGUGGAUUCGAGUUCGAUUUCUUCUUACGGUUCGAUCUCGAUCCGGUCCGAUCUGUUGUUGUUUUUCACGAAUUUGACUCGGUUUCAGCUUCUUCUUGCUCCUUCUAUUUCGUUCGGUUUGGAUUUGAUUUGUGUUGUUCUUUUAUGAAUUUCUGGUGAAUUUGUGAUUGUUGAAAUCAAAACCGAAAAUGACGGGUGAUUUGUGAGAUGGAAUGGGUGAUGUGUUUAUGAAUUAUUUUGGUGUUGAAUGUUGUUGAGACUUUUUUUGGAUCUGGAAACUUUGAAUGUUCUUGAUGAUUUCUUGCUUUGAUCCGAAAAUGUGAGAAAGAAGAGGAAAUUAGGGUUUGUAUUGAUUGAGGGACUGAUUUGACUCUGACGCAGCUACAGUGAUUUUUCUGACCCUCUUCCCAAUGAUUAGACAGUGUAUUUAUAGUGACAAAAUAGGGUUGGCUCUGGUACAUAUCAAAGACCAAAAUACCCCUGUUGGAGACUUGGGGACAAAGACUUAACAAAUAACAAAUAAAAAUGAUAAGAAAAAAGAAAAGAAAGAAGAAAAAGAAGAAAAAAAAGAGGAAAUAAGAAAGAAAGUCACGUGAUUGACUUUCCUUUCUUUGUUUUUUUUUCAAAAAAAAUAAAAAAUAAAAAAAAUAAAAUAACAAAAAACAAAAAAAUAAAAAAUGACAAAUAAAAUAAAAAUAAAAUAUUAAUUAAUAAUAAUAAAAAAAAAAGUCCCUUCGAAAUCUGACAUGAGGUACUUCAAAGUAUCCUCCCUGCCGAAAUUUUGUCUGAAAUGAUUAAAAGGACGCGAUUUUUAAAAUAUGAUUAAACCUUUUAAAAUGACUUGAUUAUUAUGACUAACAAGACUAUAAAAUGCGCUCAAAACGUUAUAAAAAUGCAGAUAAAAGUUUUUAAAUGAUUAAAGAAGAAAAACACGAGUUUUAAAUGGUAAAAAAAACGAAUAGAAGAGAAUGUGGACUAUUUCAAAAUAUGGACAAAAAGAUUUUAAGUGGUCCAAAUUUGGGGUAUGACACAAGGGAACUUCUCACUAAGGAGAGAAUACUAAAGACUUCUCACAGAGGAGAGAAUAUUUUUUUUUUAGCAAACAGUUAGUUUACUAUUCAAUAUUUAUAAUCAUUAAUUAUAGUGGAAUUCUUUUCAAUGGCUCUGCCCGUGAAUUAGUCAGCACAUUGAUGGAUACCACGUUUAAUCUUGUGCCGUUUUCAUUAUGUCUUUUACUAUUAUAGUCAUUAUUCUCGCGUCCCGUUAUAACAAAUUGGUAUUAGAGCCCUAGUUAGGCUCGGUGGGGAGCAGAAGUGGGAUAUUGUUAGAAAUCAAGUGUAAGUGAUUAUGUCCCACAUCAACUAGAAAUGGAGAAAACGUUGGAUAUAUACGAGAGUGGGCCUAUAUACUUAAUGCCUUAAGGUUUUUGGUAAGAGUGUGGUGUCUCUCUCUUAACAGGUCCUAGACAUUUAUCACAUUGUCGCUUUCGUCGCUCUCCGAACUCCAUAACGAAAUGCACAAUCAAAGACUAUUUUGAAAUUUAAAUUCAUUGAAAAACUAUUGUCCUAUAUGAUAACCACGUAGGAAACCCCUCACUUUGCAAUCUUCCAAUUCACACCGCAAAUUGAGACUGUAAUUUUAUCAUCAAAUUUUCAAAUUAAUCCCGUCAUUUAUUAUUUUUUGAUGAAAAGUUAAUUUGUUAAUUCUUUUAUUUGAUAUACUAUCAUCACUUAAAAUAAGUAUCGACAAUGAUCUAUUAAUUUUGUCAAAAAAAAUAAAAUAGUGAUCUAUUAAUUUAUGAGACGGCUAAGGUCUUCUUUACUCUGGAUCAGAGAAUUAUUCCUCAAUCCUAACUAACCUGAGUAAUGUGGGACUACAAUUUAAUUUCAAUAUCCAACUGUUACCGUAUAUAUCAAGCAUGGUCACAUAAUUAGCUUAAUACCAAAGAAAACGCAAAUUAGUUUUGCUAGACGUGAGGUGGAUAUUAUGUUGUAUUGGAGUUGCGUAUUAUUUAGAUGUCUAUGCAAUUGGGUGUGUAAAUGUAUUUAGACACUCAUUCUUUGAGUAUGUUUUUAGGAUGAGAUCUUAGUUCAUUUAACUUUGAAUCUAAAAUCAUGCUAAACAUGCAUGCGAAUAUUACAGUUGUAUUGAAAUUUCACAUUAUUCAAUAUCAUUCUUUGUGCAUUGAUUUUUGCAAAAUCACUAAAAAUCUUUUUAUAAUAAAGUGUUUUACAUAAUCAUUUCCAUAUAAAUCAAUGCAAUACUAUUUAAUUUAUCUUAUGAAUUUGAGUGUUCAAUUAAAGAUAAAAAUACAAUUAAUAUAUUAUUAACUUUAAAUUUUAAAAAUGAACAUUAGAUAAUUCAUACACAGUUGAUGCUUACUCAUUCACCGGUAUGAAAUAUGACUUUUCAAAGUUCACAAAAACACCACUAAGACAAGUACCACACCAAUAUAUUUUGUAAAAAAACAAUUCUUCUUCUUCUUCUAAUAAAACAUGACUUUUGGAUUCAUACACAAUUGAUUAACCCUUAUUAAAGAUAACUCUUAUGAUCAUGCAUGUUAAUCACCAAAACCACCACCAACUACGUAUGUGUUUCGCAUCACUUUUUUAAGCUCAAAACGUGGGUUGCUUUUGCCAAACGUCGUUUCCCAAUUUCCUGUGUUGUUUGGAUGAAGGAAAAGCAGAUCUGUGAAACCACGUUUUAGAUCCAAAACGCCGGUUCUGCUAAAGCUGGAAUUCAAAGCUUCAGCGGCAGUGAAAAGUGAUUCACAGUUUUAACUUUUCAAUGACAAGUAUAGUUACCAAUAUACCCAUGUUUUCUUCUCCAAUUUCCCAUGAAUAAACAACAUCUUUCUUCUUCUUCCAUAAAAAAACAUAUUUCUUCUUCUUUAUUACUGCACAUCACUUGAAGUAGUAGACUCUUCUUCUUUCUUUUUUGCAUAUCUAUCCUAUUUUUUUUCUUCAGAUUUGUUCUUAAUUGGUGAGUGAUGGAGAAAUGGUAGAAUGAGAGACAAAUAGUGAGAUGAGGAAGGAGAAAGGCAACAAGAGUUGGUGCAGUGAGAGGUGGAGAAGAAGAUGGAAAUGGAUAGAAGAGUAUUGAAGCUUCUCGAGAAAUAGAAAGGGAGACGUGAUGAUCUCAAGAGUGACACAAAUUGGACUUUUUUAAUUUUUUUUUUACUAUUGGGUUUUGGGCUGUGUUGGAGUAUUUGAUAAUUUGGUUUUAAUUAAAAGGAUAAUUUGGUCAUUGUACAUUCAAAAUCAAUUUUGAUUCAAACUAUCCAAACAAAUCAACUCAUAAAAAUCACUUUUAAAAAAGUGUAUCCAAAUAUAAAUCAAUUUACAUCAAACUCACUUUUAACCAAAAUCAAUUAUAUCAAACUCAAUUCUAUCAAAUCAAUUCUUCCCGCCGCCAUACCAAACACACACUACAUGCAUGGCAACUAUCAUACCAAUAUAUCUUGUAAAGAAUUCAUUCUUCAUGUAUUAAACAAGAUUUUUAAAGUCAUGCAUAUCAUGUGAGAAUAAAUAUUAUAAAUAUGUUAAAAAUAGAAAGUGAUCGUAAAUUCUAACAUAUAUUAUAUUUGUAUUAUGUAUCUAUAUAUCAAAUAAUAGAGUUUUUUUAAUUAUCGCAUAAAAAAUGUCAUUAUUUUUUAAACAAAUUAUAAUUUUCAUGAGAUAUGACUUUGAACUUAAUGGGCAACACCAUCAACAUUAAUUAUUUCCUUAGUCUCUCAAUUCAUUCCAUCUAUUCUUUUGCAUUUUCUCAUUUUCUUUAGAUUUCUUUCUUAUUUUCACAAACAUACAUAAAAAGACACGUUAUCGAACACAUUAGUAAUUUAUUACUGAGCUGUGCUAUUGAGCACGACAAAAAUCCAGGCACGACACGCACGACUAGUUAUGUGGCACAAUCCUCUUUGUUUAAAUUAAAUUUUAAUUAAAAUAAAUUUUAAAAACUGAAAUAGCGGAAGGUAGAAUACACGAUCGUGUGUAUUUUGACGACAACCAUGUGUCGUGCAAUAUACCAUUUUCCUUUAUUAAUACUUAAAAAAUUGGUAUCUCUAUAACUUUGUCAAGAUAGUGUUACAAAAAGUUGGUGCCACUCUAAAUAUUUUGAGUUCUUUGAUAUUUUCGAUUUCGAUUAUUUUGUUGUGACAUUUGGUCUGACGUGAUAUACAAUCACUUAAAACCACAAUUUAUUCACCACUCAAGAAAAUCAGUGUUCCGAUACGACGGGAGACCGUUGCAAAUAUGACCACCAUCUUUUUGAACUAAAAAAAUGGAUCAGAGGCUUUGAUGAACCUUGUGCGCAAAGGAAGAAAAUAUUCAGAAGACUUUUGAUUUAAUUUUUUAUUAAAAGAUUAAACCAACACAGCCGGUUGACAGUUUUAUUUGCUUUUCAUGAUGUUUAUAUGGACCAAAAGUUGAGAAAGUAUCUAAAAGUGUUUGUUAGAGUACCUGUCCUUAGUAGUCACUUGUAAUAAAAUGACAUAUACACGCACACGCUACAUUGUUAUAAAAGUGUUUGUUAGAGUGACUGUCCUUAGUAGUCCUUUGUAAUAAAAUAACAUAUACACGCAGUCACUACUGUGUUAGUAAUUUUGUAUGUGUUGUUAGUCAUUUGCAAUAAAUUACAUACAAAAUUUUUUUUGCUUAUAAUUUACAAUUUUAAAUAUUUUACCAUUUAGUUGAAAUAUUUUUUUUAUUUGUACAAUACUCACAAUGUGUUGAUUUUGUUAAAGGAGUUUAAAUUUUAUACUAAAAGCUAGAUUAAAGGAUGAGAUUGCCUAAUCACAUUUAUAUAUCUAACAACUUAAGAAUUUGGUAACGUAAGACUCCAAUAAACCUUCAGGGUGCGUUUGAUGGUCAGGAUAGAAAAGAUAUAUCAUAUCAUAUUAUAAUCCUUUGUUUGAUACAUCAAUAAAAUAUGAUAAGUUAUUCCUUUUAUUUAUCCUAUUUUAUCCUAUCACUCCUUUGUAAUUUCUAUCUAAGUUUAUGUAGGGUUAUAAUUAUCCUAUCAAAUAGAAAAUCCUAAUUUUACCGUCACCUUUGUCUUCUCUCUAAUUCGUCCAUGCUUUCCACUCAUCUUCUUCCUCUUGUUCAUGCCAUCAUCAUGUAUGUUAUAUUGUAAAUUUUAUCAAUUCCUCUUCUCUUAUUAUCGUACAGAUUGCUUUUGUUCUUGUUCUUAUUCAAUUUUUUCUUUAUUGAUUUCAAUUUUUCAUCAAUCGAUUUUUCCUCCUUAUUUUAUUGAAUUCCUUUUUUUGUCCGAUUUCUCUUAUAUUUAUUUCAUUUCGAUUUCUCAUCCUUUUUCAAUUCUUUUUGUGUUGAAUUCCUCUGUUUCCAUCGCUCUUCCUUUCCUCUGUGUGUCGAUUUUUUUACAGAUUCCUUUCUCUUUUUUAUUUUUUUAUUUUAUAGAUUUCAAUUUUUUCCUUCUUUUCUCUUGUAAAAAAAUUAAAAAAUUUAUUUUCUUUGAUGUUCAUGUGCAAUACGAAAAUCCGUUAAAAUAAUAUAAUUGAUUAAAAGGGUAAUUUUGUCAUUUAAUAUGAUAAAGAAAAUGUUAUCCAUAUUGUUAUCAUGUCCACAUCAAACAUAUGAUAGGAUAAAUUUAUCAUGUACAUAUCAUAUCCUGCCUCUAUCCAGUUUUAUAUCAUAUUCUGUCUUUAUCCUAUUCUGACCAUCAAACACACCCUAAAUACCUAACUCUCACGUCUAGUGUGCCUCCCAAAUCCAAUUCUAAUACGGUAAUCAUGAACACAACCCGGAUAUCGCGUACCGGAGAAUUGCAAACUAGGUGACAUUUUGAAGUACUAUAUCAAGGUUAAAUCGUAAACUCUAAUCAAUAAUGUUAGUCAUAUAAAAAUAAUAUAAAGAUAAGUGAAAAUCACUUAUUUGUUGAAGUCAUAAUCAAGGUUAUUACUGGACUCGCGGAGAUGUGAGAUUGAAUCUCCCUUUUUCUAAUCACGUGCUCGAGGAUUUGAAUUCUCAAUGAAGUUAACCGCAAAGGAGCUAAUCGUUAGAAUGAUGGCAAAGGAGAUCAAACCUCUCUAUUUACACUUUUGUUUUCUUUAUAAAAGGGACCGAAACGAGUAACUAUUUUUUCCCUCAAGAACUAAAAAAACGAGCAAUUCAGUUUUUGGGCUCCAAAAGUUAGUGGCUACGUAAUGACAAAUAAGAGGGGAAGAAUGGUGGAAAGUGGGUGAUACUCCAGAAGGAUUGUAUGCUUGGAAUGAAAGCACGUUUUAUGUGUAGUGUAAAUUGUAUUCUAUGGAAUAGUAUUAUAAUUAAGACCACUGUGUUGUCCUGUUUCAUGACCAUGUAACUUACUUUGUGGCUCUCACAAUGUUACAUAGUUUUAUUUUAGGUGAGAUACGGACAUAAUACGCCUACCCUUCUUGACUUAUAUAUUACGGACAAAUAUUGUUUUGUUUAUUCUCACUCCAAAGGUUAAAAAUGUGUCAUCCUAAGGUUUUAACUUAAUAUUUUUUGAGUUAAAAAAAUUCUUAGUCAAACUAUAUUUAUCUUUGUGGCGCCGUUUAGCGUACGCAGACUUAAUAGGUCAUGUAUGGUGUGAGACUUGAUAUUGCCUUUUUUUUUUUGUUGAAUAAUGUGAUAUACGCUUUACAUACGGUUAAGUAGAACACUAGGUGGAACGGCGCCACAAAUUAAUCUCUAUAUUAAUAUUAUAUUAUUUGUUGUAUUAAAAAAGAUAGAGAUUUACAUAUUUGUUAAAUUAUUGUUGUUAUUGAAAAAUAUAAACACGGUUUUUUUGGGUUUCUUUCGAUUUGAAAGUCACAAAUAUUUGUACUUAUAGUUUUAGUCAAAAUCAAAAUUUCAUAUAAAAUACCAUUCAUAAUUUACACGUGUUAGCGCAAUAAAAGGAGCAAAAAGACGGACACGUAAGUGUCUGUCUUUUCGCUGGCAAAAUAUAAGGACAAUUAUCAAUAACAAUUUUAAAAUUCAGUCUUGUAAUUUUUUCAUUAUAUACGGUGUAAAUCCAUCUGUUUCAAAGGCUUUCCGCAACAUCCAAAGGCCAUAAUUCUACUAUGUUUUUCAACAGUAGUAUUUUUGUUCAUUGAUUAAAUCACCCUUUUUAAAUGAAACUAUAAAUUCCAUAAUGUUUAUCAACAAUACAAAUUUUAACAUGUCAACUUGUGGGACCUUUUAGAUCCAUCCCUACCGUUUGCUUAUAAAAGUAAAUCCAAUGGUACCUAAACAACUUGCAACAAAGAAAAAAUUAAGAGAUCUUGCACGGUGAGAGACCUAUAAUGGUCUCCUACCGUAGCCACAACCGUAGUACCAUUAAACUCUGGAUUAUGAUAGCCCAUCUCUUUUGUAAUUCUUCCACUAUUUUGAUUUUAGAGCUUUUUUUUUAUGUUAGAACCGUUCUAAAGCAUAAUAAGAACGAAAUGUUUCAAGACAUGAUUUAUUCCAAGAUGAUUAGAAUAAGAGAAAAUGGAAACAGAUUAUAUAAAUCUCAUCAAACAAGUGCAUGUAUGCUAAUGCUGUCAAUGACUAUGAAAUGACUCAUCCAUGACCCAUGUUUAUCUCAAAAUAAGAAAGGAACACCCAAAAAUAGUAAUCACUAAGGCCUUUUUAAUUGAAUUAGUUUUGAAAAGAUUUAUUUUCUUAUUUUAGAAAAAUCUAUAGAGAAAUUUUCUCUAUAGAAUUCUUCAUUGGAUGCAUAUGAGAUAAUUAAGAGUUUUUUAUUUAUUUUUAAAAGCAAUAGUUAAAGAGUUGUUUUUUUUUAUUUAAUUGAUUGUUUCUUUUUAUUUGAAAAAUAUUCAAUUUUAAAUAAAAGUUAGCAACAAACAUCUAAUUAUGAGAUAAUUAGAAUGAGUUUUUAUUUUGGUGCUUCUAAUUUUAGUAGUUGAUUAAAAAAAAAAUCAGCAGUAAUUUUGGUAAUAGUACAAUAUGAACGUGAAUAUGCAAAAGUAAUGAGCAACCAAUAGAAAAAAAGAAUUAGAAAAGCAACCAAUAAAAUAUUGUAAAGAAUAUCCCAUUCCCAUUGGUGUAUUCCUUCCAUGUGCCACUAAAUUCAAGAGGAUCCAAAACAUCCACAUCCCUUUUAUAACCCUACACGCUUUCUCUCAAAUGAUUCUCAUUACUUCUAGUCUCUCUAUAUAAACCACAUUGAUAUAGUUCUACUAUUACAACCAUCAUUCACAACAAAGAAAAUCUCAACAAAAAAAAGGAAAUAUUUUUUGCUCAUUUUAUUAGAGUGACUAAAAUAAAAUGGCAGCCAUGGUAGAGGUAUGGAUUGGAGAGCUAGCCAAGCUCAAAGAGAAAGUUCUAACCAACAAAACCAAAAUUUCUAAAUCCAAAAAUGGUUUAGAAGAAGAGAAGGAAGUGGGAAGAGAAGCUCAAAAGGAGGUCAUAGGUGCUCAAAGAGACACUACAACCUUGUCUGAGUCAACAAUAUGUUUGCUUAUGGAUAGAUUUGUGCCUUGCUAAAAUAUGUUGUUUAUUCAACUAUAUCAAUGUGAUUUGGUUCCUAGAUAAGAAAAUUUGUAAUGAAAUGUUAUAUAUGUUGUGUUAGUAUAAUGUAAUUAGUUGUUUAAUUGUUCUUGGAUGGUUUGAUUACAAUUAUUAAAGCAAUAAACCAUUUAGUUGAAAUAAUUUGUGCAUAUCUUUUCAAACUUUUGGGUUAUUAAUAUUUGCUCCUAUAAUGUUAGCUUUAUGAACGAACUUUUUUGAGAUGGUUUUGCAGGAAAAUAUCUACGACUUCUCUUUCUCUCUCUUAAUUUUUCUUUCCUUUUCUUAUAUCUCCUAUUUCAACCUUGGCUCAAGUUCAAUCCACUUAUGGACUUGCUCACUAGGGAGUAUGCUAUGAGAUUCCCCAGGGGAGCACCCAAGAGAAUCCGGUAAUGGUGAUCAAAUGUUGAUAUGCAAAUAACGUCGAGGACAGUCUAACAAAAUCAAUGAUUCCGACAGGAAAAUUCUACAGUCUUCCUUAUAAUUAAGGACAGAUGAUCGUUAAAGGGACACAUUCUCUAAACCCUAAAAACUUCACCCCCUUUGAUCACUGACUAACUUGAUUAUUGUAGUGUUUGCAAGUAUACAAUCCUUUAUGAAGAGCUAUCGUCGUCCUUUCUUCCACCACUCUGGCUUUCGAUUUAGGUCCACUCCGGCUUUUGAUUUAGGUCCUUUCUUCCUUAUUCAAUCUUAAUAAAAUGAAGUUUUUAAUGAACAUUAUUUUUAUGUAUCGUUUUGAACACCUACAAUCAACUAUAUAUCGAGCAAUGAGUCUCCAAAGAAGUAGCUUAGGUUGUGACACCGAAGAAGUUAUAUGUAGGAAGUUCAUAUUUAAAUUGCUUUCUACGAACAUUUCUUGCCUUUAAAAAAAACUUCUAGUAAAAAAAAUAACAUGAAAAGUUUUGAACAAAGUUUUAAGUCCAACAAAAAUGGUUAUUGAAACUUUUUCCAUCUUCAAGACAUGUAAUUAGUGACAUUAAAAAGUGUUUAUAAUACUCCUGUAAUUUAAGUUUACAUGCAUUGAAAAGUGUUUAUAAUAUUCCUGAAUUAUAAGGUUAUUAUGAUUUCCAACGCGGUUUAUUGACACAUUAUAUGCCCCAUUUUACACGUUAAGGUCAAACUAGAUGAUGACUGAAAUAAUUAGAGAAGUAAAAUAAUUAUUAAUUAGGAUAAGUGUUAAAAUUGACUAAGUUGAUG